UUGUCAAAAGUUGCAAGAACCUCUGCCUGCAGAUUGUCACUUAAAUAAUCAAAAUGGAAGGAAUAGAUGUUCAGUGAGUUCAAGGAAGAACACACUUGAACUCACUGAUCAAAGCGGAAAACUUUGUUUAGGUAAGCAGAAUAGAAAUAUAAAUAUAAGAAGAAAGAGUGGCAAUAAAUAUAGAAGAGCGAUUCUUCUUCCAGAGGUCAAUGAACCUCUGCCUGGUCAAUACAAUUCAUUAGAAUCCCAGAUUCCAUUCUUAGACAAGCAACCAAGAGAGACGUGGGGUGAGUCUGCUCCAUCUAGUCAAUUACUGAACUAAAGUAAAUGCAAAAAUUUCCUUCUGAUGCAAAUUUAAGAUGUUCAGUGGUUUUAAGAUCCAGCUACCAUUUCCCAUUUGCAACAACAUAAUCACAAAUACUUAUUCCUGUGAUGAAUCCAUGUAUAUAUUUAAGGCAUUAUAUGUACCUGAGAUGUGAUAAAUAUGCGAUUUAGUGCAUCUGCAUCAUUGCUGGCUGCACACAUUUCACGUAAUCUUGAAGUGAAACUGGCAUCGGAGGUGUGCAAAUAAACUUUUGCUUCUAAACUAGAACCAAUUAGUUUCCCUAUACGAGCAGCUUCCAGAACCUUAUUCACCUCAGUUCUCAGCUGUUUGUGUUAUUCAAUUUAUAAGCAAGCAAAUAUAUCAUGAUCAGAAGGAUACAUCAUCACAUAAAUAGAGCAACUUUAAAAUGUUAAAUGCGAUGAGGUCACACUGUUACUUUCAGAACAGAGGUGAAGUUGACGCAUUCAAAAUUAUAUAAGUACACGUAUUGGGACCAAACAACAUGGUUUGGUUUGCAAAUUUUAGCUGGGUCAGUGAUUACCUCGAGAAUUUUUUCCCACAACUCAAUUUCUUCAACAGAAAAGGCAAGCCAUUUCUCAUUCAAGGCAGGCCACUUCGAUUCAAAAACAAACUUUGCAAUAGAACCAUCUUGAAGCAGAUAUGGAAAAGGAAGAUUCUGCCAUACAUCCUCAGCCAAAUGAGGCAAUAUUGGAGCAAGAACCCUUGCAAUGGAAAGGAGAUGUGCAGCAAGAACUGUCUGACAACUUCUCCUUGUAAAACUUGUAUUGCCUCUGAAAUUAUCAACUUAAGAGUGUAAUAGAUGCUUUUUAUGUUGACCUAGAUUUGCAGUACACAUUCAUACAUCUGUGUAAAGAUUUAACAGUAACGAAGAAGCUGAAAUUGAAGGAAGAGAAUUACCCAACGUAGAGACGAUCUUUGGCAACGUCAAAAUAGAAAUUUGAUAGGUCAACAAUAACAAACCGUUGUAUGAUCUGGAAUACAAAAUAAUUGUCCAUGUAAUUUACCAUAAAUAAGCAGAUCAAAGUUUUGCAUAAGCUGAAGUAGGGCCCCUAAAAUGAAUAGCAUAACAGCAGAGAGCAGCAUGCAUUCCUAGGGGACUUCAUUCUUCCAAGCAGGACCAAACCAUAAAAGAGAUACAUUACACUGUCCUAGAACUCAGUUCAGCAGAGAUUUUGUCAGGAGUACUGGAUAGGUCCCAACAUUUUUUUGUUCAUAUGAAUUAUAUCAAUUUGAAGAUUGCCUUUUCUCAUAACUCCAAAGUUGACUUUGUCUCAAAUAUAAUUCAAUUACCUUAAAAAUUAGUAUUUAGAUCAUAUACAUCCAUUUACUGAAAUGAAAAGAAUUCUAGAAAUUCAGCCACUUAAGGAAAAUCUUUACCUGGAAUAUUUUGGGAAAUUGAUAGUUUUCGUAACUGUCUCUUAUGUUCUUUACAACAGUUUCCAGCUGAAACAGUGCAUACUUAUCAAUCAUUGGGAGAUCAUCAUAUGCAACUUCAGUGUCAGCCUGCCAAUAGCACAAGCAGUAUAAAAGUCAGGGAGUUGAUUGUUCAGCAAAAAAUUAUUAAACUUUGACAGCUAAAUUUAGCCAUUUGAGAUAUUUAUUAAACUUACUUUCCAAUCAUGUAGAUUUCCCAAAAGAUAUCUCAGUGUUCCUCGCAACUUCCUAUAUAUUUCAGAUAUUUGUCGAAGAAUUUGAGGACCAACCAUAACGUCACCUGUGUAGUCUACACUAGAAACCCAGAGUCGUAGCACAUCAGCUCCAUAGCCUGGUGCUCCCUGUGCAUAGCAGACAUUGAUACAACUUCUAGGUGGCAAAAUAUUCACAGAAAGGAAUUUUAAGACAAUAUCCAUCAUGACUAACCCCUGCAUUUUUCCCCCCUUCAAUUACUGUUUGUGGAUCUACAACAUUACCCAAAGAUUUGCUCAUCUUAAAACCUUUCUCAUCCAAUACAAAUCCAUGGGUCACAACACCAGAAUAUGGAGCCUUUCCUGUAGAAAGAGAAUAAACAGAAUGAUACAGUAACUUACUGGUUUAGGACAUAAUGUUUUUAUGGAAAAUUUCGGUGACAUAAAAUGUGUUGGAAACAAAAUGCAUCUGAUUACUAGCAUUCCUACCAAAAUAAAUAAAUAAAUAAACAAACAGAAAUAAUUUUAAUUCAAUAAUUUUCAGGAUAGCAUUAUUACUUCAAAGCAAUCUGCUCCAUGAAGAAAACUCACACCUCCUUGUUACAUAAUCAAAAUUAAAUUUAGAUGCAAAUUACCUUUUGCAGCGAUACUUGUCAGUAAAGAGCUCUGAAACCAUCCGCGAUGUUGAUCCGAACCUUCAAGAUACAGAUCUGCAGGAUAACUAAGACCAGUCCUUUUUUCCAACACAGCAGCCCAUGAAGAACCUGAAAUAGCAUAUGAACUGAGAAAGAUAAGAUGACUGGUAGAGAAAAUAAGCAAUAACAAGUUUGGACAUUUUAAACCAGGAAUAGCAACGUUGUUCACAUUUAUAAUAUCAACCUAUUUUGUUCACAUGAAUCCUGCGAUGCACAUGGUACAUGUAAAGAAAACAGGUAAAGAACAGCAAUAAAAGUUCUGUGUAACUAUUGAUACUAACAUUCAUGCACAAUUCCAUCAAACCAUAGAGGUUGUCAAUCUAGCAUCAGAAUAGUUCAUAGAAAACAAGGUCCAUAUAAGCCUAUAAUUAAACUAUUUAAUCUCAUAAUACCUGAAUCAAACCAUACAUCCAUUGUAUCUGUCCCUUUUUCAUAGUCUGAUGCCCUAUCACGAUACUUUUCAGGGAGUAGGUCAUUCACUGUCAUAUACCACCAUGCGUCGGUACCCUUCUGAGCUAUUAUAGCUGUUAAAGUAAUGGCAUAAAUCAGACAUCAGGACCUAAAACCGUGAAACUAUCAAAAACAUUAAACAAAAGGUUAGCAAAAUACUGAAAACAUCUUUAGACAAUAAGAGCAAGGUAUCACUGAGAAGAGCAGACAAGCACAUGGAACAAAACAAAACUUGGGGAAAAAAAAUUCUAACUAAACAAACUUAAUGAAGAAAGUGAGAAAGCCACUGCUGUUUCUAGAAGGCUUACACUUGAUAUGAUCAAUAGUCUCUUCAUUCAUAAGCGGUUCCUUUGAUUCCACGUGAUAAAAGACGGGAAUGGGCACGCCCCACGUCCUUUGCCUUGAUAUGCACCAGUCAGUGCGAGUUGAAAUCAUUGCGGAAAUUCUGUUUUCUCCCUGAAGAGUGGUUAUGCAUUUGGCUAUUUUAACAAGAAAUUACCAAUAAUAUAUAUAAUCAUUCGAAAUACAACAGAAUUUACAAGAAUCAUAUCACAUUGCAAUUGCAAUUCAUGAGCACUGUUUAGUUUGUCUUAAUGCCCUUGCAUUAACUUCUAAGUUCUAUAACAGCGUGCACAGUCAUGCUGCAGUUAAUAGACAGGUUUUGAACUACUGAAUUUCAUAAAUCCAUAAAAUAAAAAUUUUUCCCAAAGAAUUCAAACUCGUAAGCUUUACAGAAGCAUAAUUUACCUAACUGGAACUAUAUUCAAAAUGACAAACUUGAAUGCAUAGAAUUGACAUAGUGAGAAAGGAAAGCCUUGUAAACACAUUUGAAAAGGCCAUUUCUAGGUAGUUCGUUCAUUAAGCAAAUGUGCCUCAAGAACUUGUAUUUAUAUCACUUCAAAAGGAGAUGCGGGACUCGAUGGAAGAAAACACAUUCAAAACUUUGAAUUAAAAGCACAGCCAUGAAGAUCUAUCGUCACCAGAAUUCCCACUGAAUUAAACCUUAUGAACAUCAGAACUUCAAUACAGAACAUAUAGAUGCCAACAAGCACAAACACAAGAUGACUAUAAUACGAAUUUUUGAAUACAAAUAGAGAAAAAGAUGAAGAACACACUUCAACUAUAAAUAAUAAGUGAUUUUUAACAUUGUAACUUAUAGAGUACUAAAAGAAACACCUGAGGCGGAACCCAUUUUACAUGGCCAAUUGCAUCCAUAGCAGCCUGGCGAAAACCUUCUACAGAUGCAAACCAUUGCUCUGUGGCUCUAAAUAUUGUAGGUGUUUUUUCUCUCCAGUCAUAUGGAUACUUAUGUUCUGCAUGAGAGAGAAAGGCAGUUUGUUACGGACAACAGGUACCUUUUUCUCAUCCAUAUAAAGAAAAUAUGGUUAUCAGCAGAAAGGAUGAGAACAAAUUUCUUGACGUUGGAAAAGGAUCCAACUUACCAUAUGGCUCCUCCAUGAUAAGGGACAUUUUUUCAUCCAGAAAAUUCACUACAGAGACAUUGCCAUCCCCGAGUACAUCAAGCCCGCUAAAUUGUACAGCUUCUUCAGUGAAUUUUCCAUCAUCAUCAACAGGGGAAAAUACAGGCAACCCAUAUUUCAUGCCAGUUAUAUAAUCCUCCUGACCAUGACCAGGAGCUGUAUGCACCAGUCCAGUUCCUGAUUCUGUUGUGAUAUAAUCUCCUCCAAUGACAACCGGGCAUUCCCUGUUAUCUAUUGGAUGAACAUAUCUGAAAGCAAAUUUAAAACCAGAUUUGAGUUUUAAAAAAAUGAUGACAACAACAAAUCAAGUACACAUAAUUAUUUCAUAGUUAGCCAUUUUCAUUUUCAAACAAAUAAAAAGUUCAAUUUCAUUAUUAACCUGCAGUUUUCAAGAUCUGACCCUGAAAGGGUUUUUCUGAUCACAAGCUUCACACCCCAUUUUGCUUCUAGAGUUGACACAAGAUCAGAUGCUACAAUAAGAAAAGGCUUCUUUUGCUGCCGCAGAACAUUACCACGCCGUCGUUUUUUGUUUGCAGAAGAUGUAAGAGCAUCUUCCAGGGACUGAACUUCAAUUACAGCAUACUGAAGCUUGGCAUUGACUGCAACGGCUGAGGGCAGCAGGUCCCAAAAGAAUAAAGAGAAAAUAAAAUGAUGAGAGAGAGAGACAGAGAUGCAAGUUAAAAAAUUUGUCACAAGGCAAUCGAAGAUUCAUUUGUUCUGUCUAGGUCAAGGAUGGCAUUAGGAUUAAAUGAAUACACAAGGAGCAGUUUAAGGCUGAUAAGGAAAAUGAAAUAUGAGGGUGGUUAUUGAGGUAAUAACCUAAAUUUCAGAGGAAGCAUUUUCCCCCCUAUGAUUGUCCACCAAAAUUGCAAUUUCAAGGAAUUAGUACCUCCUCUGGACUCAGUUCUACUUUUAAGUUUAUUUGGUUACCUCACACCAAAAAUGGCAAACCAAAGACAUUAAAAAAAUAUAUAUAUUAUGUUGACGUUAAUGAUUGCAGUCAGGAAUGCAAAAGAUAUAUGCCAAAUUUUGCAUGAGAAUAUGAAUUAGAACACAUGCGAUAUGAAAACAAGAAAGAAAAAGAACCACUUAGAAUUCAAACAGGUUAAUGCAUAUACAACUACAAAGACUUACCAGCAUUGGCUGGAACAGUCCAGGGAGUUGUGGUCCAUGUGGCCAAGCACAAAUCUGGAAAGAAUUCCUCUAACAACCGGUUUGAGGUUGGAGGAGCACUCACUAACCGAAAUAUGGCAUAUAUGCUUCUUGAAACAUGCCCUUCAGGAUACUGCAAAGAAAAAUAUUGUAAGUUUAUGUUGUAAGUUAAUUAAUGAAAAGAAUCCAGUUAAUUAAUAAAAAGGCAACAUAAAAGCAAAAGGACCAAUGGUUUUAUUAGAAAAGACUCCAGUUAAUUAAAAAAAAGGCAACAUAAAAGCAAAAGGACCAAUGGUUUUAUUUGAAAAUGUUGUUGUAAGUUUGAGUUUCUCGCUGUAUCUUUUUGAAUGUAGUACUGAGAGAGAUGCUCAUAAAUAUAUUACAAGCUCUACAAGAGACAUUGCUGCUUAGUGGUUUAAACGUCAAGUAAGCAAAAAAAAUCUGAAGAUACAUAUCAUCUCUAACCCAACAAUAUAGAUUGUACAGAUAAAAACAACCAAAAGUAAAAUUAAAUGAACAAGUUCAAGUACAUUUAGAAACCAUCACUAGUCAAUACAAGCCAUUAUGUCAUCACUUCUAUUUGUUUAAGAAAGUGACACUUGAAUCACAUUUAGUAAGGUUAGUGUAAAGCAGGGAAAAAAGAGCAUGCUCCUAAAUUUCAAAACUUAUUUUACCUCCAACUCAGCCUCUGCAAGAGCUGUACGGGAUUUAGGACUCCAAUGAACCGGUUUCCGGCCCCUAUAAAUGUAUCCUUUAAGUGCCAUUUGGCCAAACACUUCAAUCUAUCAAAAAAUAGGAUAUAACAAAUCCUCAAAAGUUUAUCAUACUAAUUCACUGAACCAGAAAGUCACAUGCACAUUGAAUGAAAAUGAGACAAGUACCUGGGCAGCUUCAUAUUCUGGAUCUAAUGUUAGAUAAGAUUCAGGCCAUUCUGCCCACACUCCAUAGCGCUGCAACAACAGAAACAAUUAAUCAGCUGUUACUAGCAUGGGGGUUGUAUAUUAGAGAUAACUAUGACUUGGUAACAUGCAAACAAAAUACCAACUAUUAACACCAAAAGAAAAAAAAAAAAAAAUUGGGCUACAACCUUAAAUGAUCCCAUCUGUGUUUUAACAGUCGCCUUGGCAAACUUGGCAGCCUUUGCUCUUAAUUUUAAUGGGCUCAGAUCCUUUCUGGCAUUUUGAUCCAAUGAUUGCAGAACUGUAUAAUUUGUGAUGACAAUCAACCUCUCUUGUCUUACCAAACAGACCUGACUUGGUACUGAAAAUACUUUAAAACACAUUUUCCCUCAUUCUAGGAGAAUCAGUAGGCAGGCAGCAAAAAUGCAUAUCCUGAUUGACAUUAUGAAAAGACACAGAACAAUAUCUAGAAUAAUCACAUACAAUCAAAUCAUUACCACCUAUUCAAAUCUUUAUAACUUCAGCCAAUUUAGCUAAUUUCCUGCAGCAGGCCAUGAUGUCAAUCUAUUAACCAGAAAAGAAGCCAAUACUUGCCUUUGUUCUCAAUUGGUAGGCCAUGACAAUCCCAACCAGGAAUAAAGCGAACCUUAUGGUUUUGAAGAAUCUGGACACAAAAAAGAAAAAAAAAAGAGCAUGGCUUAAAUAAGUAAUAUUAAGAUCAUUUUUACACCUAUAUAAACAGAUGUGUCAAGAAAAUGAGUCUAGCUCACAUUCUCAUUAUUGACAUAUUAAUAUUGCUAAAAUACAGUGGGAAAAUUACAAAAAAAAAUUGGAGUAUAAAACAUGACAGAAAUUUUUACGGCAUAAAGCUGAUUACUUUAUUCUUCUUUAUUUCCUUUCUUUUUCUCUUGUUUGUUGCUUAGGGUGAUUCAUCCCAACUUCCAAAUUGCAGAAAGGAAAAAAUUCAGAAUUUUUUAUUUGCUUCUUCUCUUUUUCGCUUCGAAAUGGAGUAAACAUAAAUUCAAUACUUUAUUUCGAAUUGAAUAAAUAAAAUCGACUUUUUUUGUUCUAUAUGUCUGAUUUUCUCUAUAUUAGAAAAACGAUGUAAAAAUGCAGGGCAAUAAUAAAUGUCUUGGUGAGGGAACACACCUUAUAACGGUUAAUUAUAUCCUUCAAGAUUUUAUUCAGGGCAUGACCAAUGUGUAGGUCACCAUUGGCAUAAGGAGGACCAUCAUGAAGAACAAAAUUUCCCUGACAAAGCAAUUGAAGGCGGCUAAUAAGUUUACGUAAAUUGAACUGAUAUACAAGGAUAAUUACAAAACCCACCCCAUCAUUUUUGUCGACAACUCUCUUGAAAACCUGAUUAUCCUCCCAUAAUUUUUGAAUCUCAGGCUCCCUCGUCGUAGCAUUUGCUCUCAUGCUAAAUGUUGUCUUAGGCAAAUCAACUGUAUGCUUGUAUUUUCCUUCUUGUUUUUCCCCUGAAUAAUUCCAAUCAAUUCAUAAAAAAGAAGUUACACAUUACUUAAACGGAUGUAAUAUGACUCUGUAGUAGUAUAAGCACAAAAUCCUUUGAAAAAUGUCAUUGUAAUUGUCUAAUUCCCAAACCAGCAAACACACACCCUCAGAUGCUUUCUUGGCAGCCAUAACAGGACCUCGAGAUCUUCGCUUUGAAGUACCAAAUUGGUCACUGGAAUAUGUACAAUAACGCCUUGUAUUCAAGAAAAUCGAAGAGCUUCCUUUGUAGUAGAAUAAGCUAGCAUUCCUUAGAGAUGAAGAAGUUGUUCGUGAUAAAACCUGACAAAGUUCAACACAUUUUAUCAGUGGCAACAGCGAAAUUAAAUUCUCACUCUCUUCGUCACACUCUCUCUGUGACAUUUUAUCAAGCACAUGAAGGAACACAAUCGAUACUCAACAAGUAACGCAAAACCCGACUAGUUUCGGUAAAUCUAAUCCUUAAAGUUCACUCAUAACCCUUCCAUUUACAUACAGCACUGCAAUUACAAAAGUGGCAUCAUGUGAAGAAGAAUGGUAUAUAUACCCCAGAAGAAGAUGAGUGAAACAUGGAUAUUGUAGCUUCACCGGGACUGAACGCCAAGGACUUAAGAAGAGACAUGAUUUUGCUAUAUAGAAAGCUUUAUAAAUUCUAAUUAUUCAUUGGUAACUGUCAAAACAGACCAGUUCUCCAUUCUAGGAACUGGAUAUAGGAAACUUGUGUGGAUGAGUGAACAAAAGCAAAGCAGCCCGUUAUUUUCUAUUCAAACGUGUCCUUACGCUAAACACUACCGUUUGGUAGCGCUGCAAAUAAUAUAUCGAAGCACUGUUUUUAAACGAUCAGUGGACUCUUUUUUAAUGAACCAGUGAAAUAUCGGCUAUCGCAAAGUUGAAAAGCCGUGGCUUGGGUUUACAAUGGCUUAAUGGCUUUUCUACUGAGAAAAGGGAAAUGACAUAUACAGUACGAAUAGAGGCAAAUAUAAAAUUAGUAGCAGAAAAUUUCUAACUAUCUUGACAACCAAAGCUGUAAAAAAAUAAUAAUAAUAAAUAAAUAAAAUAAAAUAAAAUAAGGUUAAGGAUGAACAGAGGUCUCUAUUUAUAGAGAUUAAAUAUAUAUAAGCUCAUUAUAUAAAUACGAUUCGGCCUUUCAUUAAACUGUAUAAAAUUAUAUUUAUGAGUUGUGACUUAAUUGGUAAUGCAAAUUGAAUAUGUGAGAAAAACUAUAGGAUUUGAUUCCCAGUAAGUACAUCUUCAGAAAGGGAUAAGAGCCUUAUUAUAAUUAAGUCCCGAGUCGAAUUAGAUGGUCUCUAAUGAUGGAGUCCAGAUACCUGUAGUUUAUAUAAAAAAAAUUUAUAAACCCAUUAUAUAAAUAAUUAGAUAAAGACAAAUUGAACUUUGUCAGCAUAUAUUCUUGAACUGUAAAAAAACAAAAAAUUACAUUAAAAUUUUUAACACACUACCAUGAAGUAAGUUUGUGAAUGGCCCAAACAAUUUUCUUAUCGGGUAAAAUCGAUGCCAUGGAGGAAUGUUUUGACCUAACAAGGAAACUUUUUCCUUUCCAGAAAAUUUUAACGACAGUAAAAAAUUUUACUGGGUGUUGCGUAUUGAUUUGUAGAUUAUCCGUAUCAACGAGCAAUAUAAUCUCUUUCCUUUUUAAAGUGGGCCGGACUAUUGGUAUAUCUUAAUAUCCGGCCCAACUUGAGUUGGUGAUAUUGAUGGGCCUUCCUUACCUCAUUCCUUUUGAUGAUAAAAAAUUUGUAUUAAACUAUUAAUUAUUCCAAAUAUUAAGUAACGAGUUUUGUAUUUAACUAGCGAUUAUUUUUUAAAUAAAAGCAUAGAAUUUGAUUAUAUUUAACUACAAAUUUUAAAACUUGAUUUGAUAAAAUAAAAUAUUUAUCCUAAUUAUGUUCUUUAUUAAAAAAAAAUUAUUCGCAUCAAAACAAGAAAUUAAUGAAAUUUCAAUUUUACAAUUUGACUUUGACAAUAUUUUUUCUUAAUACACUAUAAUUAAGUACGUGAUGAAUAUUUAUAUAGACUUGGUUUUUUUUUUUUUUUUUUUUUUUUUUUUGGUUUUUUUUUUUUUUUUUGGUUUUUUUUUUUUUUUUUGGUUUUUUUUUUUUUUUUUGGUUUUUUUUUUUUUUUUUGGUUUUUUUUUUUUUUUUUGGUUUUUUUUUUUUUUUUUGGUUUUUUUUUUUUUUUUUGGUUUUUUUUUUUUUUUUUGGUUUUUUUUUUUUUUUUUGGUUUUUUUUUUUUUUUUUGGUUUUUUUUUUUUUUUUUGGUUUUUUUUUUUUUUUUUGGUUUUUUUUUUUUUUUUUUUUUUUGGUUAAUUUUAUUCUUAUGUAGGAGUUGUGUUGGUCCCCCGUUUGGGUGGUUACAUUGGAGAUGGAAUACUAAUGCUUGCUGCAACUGUAAAAUUAGUAUCUCUGCUAUUAAAAGACAGACAAAUAAGCAAAUAAUCACAGAAAACUUUUGAGACUGAUCAUCAGAUUAGAUGGAUAAAGAAACUGAACUCAGAACAACUAUAUGCAGGCUUGAUUCCAUUAUUUUACAGCUCAUAAAACCUACAGAAAUAACUUAAAAUGUCCUGCAGAUGGAGCAAAGAUUUUAUAAUUAUGAAGCUGGGGAAUGACAAUAACUAGUCCUGACUGAAUGAUUUACCCUUUCAAAAUUUAAUUAAUGACUGUAGAUACUUGGAAAGCAGACCUAGUAAUCUAGCAUUUUUCAGUUUCUUGCAGCACAACCAGAAUAGACACUCUUCAAGGCAGAUAUUACCAUUGGAACAAUACUGAUGAGAGCAAAUUGGAGUUCUGAGCUACUGGUUUUGAUGGUGAUUUGUCCACUUUGCUUGUUGUUCAUUCCUACAUUGAUAGCCAUUUUUGAAUUUCGACCAACAGAGAACUGAGAUUGCAGGUUGGCUGUUACACCCAAAUUGCCUCUCCAAUUCAGUAGAGACAACCCCAAUGUGGUCUGAUCCUGCUCCAUAGGAAAGUCCUUGCUCUUAAGGCGAACUUCAAAGUUUGCUCCAUAUGCUGUAUCACCUUCAGAUGUAACAGCACCAGCACUUCCAACCAAAGCCAAGCGCUUUCCAACUGUAAUCUGGUCCUCAAUUUUGAGUCCUGUGGCUGCACGUUUCCCCAGCAGAGUAAUGGAUAUUCCUGCAGUUGUUUUGUUUAUCUUAAAGUUCUUGACUUUGGUUUCAGCUCUGAGGAUACAUGCAAGCUGCCUUCCAAAAGUCUGAACGUCGAAUCCUGCCAUUGUUGAUCCAUUUUCUUUAUGUUUUGCACAAAUUGAGGAAUCCAAACGGAUGUUAAACACUUUCUUAUCCUUCAUGACUUGAACAGUAAAUGCACUUGGAAAUCUACCAGCAACAGCAAGAUUUCUGUCAAGAGCAAUACCAUCAUAGCCACAGUCAUGGUCCCAGCCCUGUGAUUCCACAAUUGGCCUAACAAGAAGCUCUGAUGUCGGCUCCAACAUCCGGUAUCUAUAAGAAGGAUUGUCACUGUCAAAAGAAGGUGAGAGGGCAAAGUCAGGCAUUGUAACAGGCACAACUGCUGGACCUCCUUCUUCCUGUUCAAAAUCUUCUUCAGUGUAAACAUGAUCUAUUCUGCUAUCUUUGCCUUUCUUCUUGAGCUCCUUCAACCUUUUAAUCUCCUCUCUCCACUGCUUCUUUUGGAGGAGUUUCGCCCGAUAAUCAUAUUCCUCAAGAUACGCUCUCUUGUGCUCCUUGCUGAGCUUAUUAAUCUGAGAUCUCAUCAAGGGCUUGAAGGGUGGGAGUUGAUCGUAUUCAUCAUCAUCUCCAUCAGAAUCUGAUAAAUCCAACAACUCCACAUCUGAAUCAACAUCAUCACUACCCUGAUCAGCAGUGAGUUUUGGAUGAGGACGACACUGCAAUAAAGAAGACACCAAGUGGGAUAAAGGCAGAGAACGGAGCCUUAAGCCAAACAUCUUCUUGUGAUCAUAAGGAUCUUGAGGUUUAGUUUUUAAGUUCGCUUCUAAUUCGGAUAAAAUCUUCAAUGAGUAGCACAAGAGUAGUAAUUGAGGUCUCCAACUUUGUCCAUUGGGGAGGACCCUUUCUCCUUCUUUGUUCUUUUGACACAAUAAAUGAUUCUCAACAAAAGACACCGGAUGCAUCAUACUUGGGUCCAUUAGACGUGGAUCACCAGUUGCUCGACUGAUGGAGAGCUGAACGGCAUGGGCUCGUUGAGUGGCAAACAUCUCAAAAUUUAAGGGUGACCCAGAUGGCCCAUCAGGAGGUGAAGCACUUGCAUGGGUGAGAAUGACAAUAGCAUUUCGCCAUAUUGAUGCAGAGAGAGAAUUAGUGAGUGAAACUAACAGUGGCAAAUCAUUGAGAUCUUUUGUAUGAGCGUCUAGCCUAUCAACGUAGAGGACAACAUCUGGAGGGAACUUCUUUAUCCACUUCUUUAUAGAUGCUAAUAUUUUCCUGUUUAUAGGUUCAUCCUUCACAGGGGUUCUAAGACCUGGAGUGUCUAGGAUUCUGAUCCUAACUCCAUCUACUGUUCCAACAACCUCCUUAACCCUUGUUGUAGCAGGUUCAAAUGCAUUGAUCACAACUUUCUUCUCACCAAAAAUAGAAUUAAUGGUUGCACUUUUCCCCACUCCAGUUUUCCCAAAAACCAAAAUGUUCAAACAGAAAUCUAAAUCAUCUUUGCCCUCUGCUUCAAGCUGCAUAACCAUUCUCUUGGCAGAUUCAAGGCUAAAUUCUUGGCUAACAUGUUCCCCUGCAGCUAGGAACAAUUUGUGCAACAAUGACGCAACUAUAGAAUCUUCAGAAGACUGUCCCAGUCGCUGAACAAGCCUCAAGAACUUCACCCUAAUGUGAUGUAUCUUUUCAAUCUUCUUCUUUUCUUCUUCACUUAUAUUUUCGUUCACAGCAGCCUUGACAGUAUCUGAUUGCAAAGUACGUCCUAUAGUGUCAAAUGAGGAACCUGAACCAACAGGGUGAUCAAAAGUGUAUGCUCUGGAACCAUCAGCAGAAGUUAUGGUGAUGCUGCGUCCAUCCAACUUAGCACUAGCUGCUGCUUUCAAAAGAGCAGCCAAUGCAGCAGAGUCAAAAAACCCCUUUUCGUCAUGAUCCUUAUCAGUCUCCAAUUCAUCAUCUGAGUCGGGAACAAUCUGCCCAUCAUAGAAAUCAUCAGCCACGGGAAGAGGAGAGGGGGAAAAACUUCUCUGCAACUCACUCAUGAUAUGUUCACUAGUUCCAGAGCUUCUAAAUAUCAUAUCUUCAAUAUCUUCAUCAGAAAGCCAACUCUUUUGUGCUCCUAUUUUUUGUGAAUCAAGCUUUACUUCAUCUUUGAUAUUCCCCUGUGAUGCUUUUUCCAAUCUAUCAUGUUCGGACAUUUCAGGCAAAUCUCUUUUUACCAAUAAAUCCAAAGCCAUCUCAUCAGCAUGGUUUCCAGAUUCAACUUUAAUGGCAUCUUCACGCGCAAGAGAUUCAGAACUCAUACCAGUUUCUGGUCCAGUUUUAUCUUCCAGUUUCCCAUAGUCGCUGCCUUCCUCAAGAGCAUCACUUCCAUCAUAAUUCUUCUUGAAAUCUGCAGCUUUUUCUGCCUCCACUUCCACUUCCAGUUCUUGAGGCUCUAGCACAAUUUUCUGGACAGAGUCGUCAACAGGUUUAAUUACAGUUUCAAAGGAAGUAUGUUCCUUUAACAGGACAGCACUAUCAUCAACCUUCAGCUCUGCCACGAUAUCAUCACAAACAUUAACAACUUCAGCAAUUUGUUCCUUCACAGGGCUAGCACUGCAAUGCUCAGAGAACUGAUAGUUAAAAUCAUUCACCACCAUACUAUUUUCAUUGUAGCAAUCUGUACCAUUCAAUUCAAUCUUUGCCUGCUCCAAAUUCUCAAAUGGUAGCCUUUCAUCAACAAAAUGCAUAGCAUCAUCGUCCAAUUGAGAACCGGUCUCCAAGACAUUUUCUUCGCAUUCCACUAAAGACUCAAUAUGAGACUCUGCCGCAACAUGCCCAUCAUCCUCAACUAAUUCAAUUGAAACAGAGUAAUCGACAACAAGUUUGACAUCUUCCUUCAUUUCUGAAUUCUUGUUAUUCUCCACCAAAGGCUCAACAUGAAAAUCAUCCUUGAUUAAUUCAACUGAACAGUGCUCGUUAAUGGGACCCUCUGCUGCGAAGGCAUCAUCUUCACGACCGGAAACACCAUUGUCAGCUCCAACAAAUUUACCAGAAACCAAAUUCCCAUUGUCUCUUGUUAGUAAAAAUUCAGACUCAUUCACAGCCGAAAAAUCACUUUGCACCAAUAACUCAAUUUCUUUAUCUUCAUCAACAUCUGACCCAUCCGACACUUUAACUCUUGGUGCACUAUCCACGUUCUCAAGAACCCCAAAACUAGGACCUGAAAAUCUGCCAUCAGCACCCCCGCCACUUGCUAUAUCCUCAUCAGACAUUAACUCCUCAAAGUCAUCGUCAUCCAUUGACAAUUGGGCAAUAGGGAUAACCCGUGGGAAACUCGUAUUAUCUAAUUUGACAGAUUUAAAUUCAUUAGUAACCCCGCUCUCUGGGAAAUCAUUAGUAACCCCGCUCUCUGGAUUUCCCACACUUUCUUCAUCUGUAUCCGUCAUAUAGGGCCUAGAAAGUUUAUAUUUGCCAAAAAAGACACUAGCUUCUGGCUUUUCCUCAUCUGAAUCGCCAACAAAAAGCUUCUCUGAUGCACUUUCAAACUCCUCACCACUAACAUACUCCUCAGCCUCAGACCCAUUAUCAACACUGCUACUAAUAUCACUAGUAUGACCGUUAGAUUCAAAAUCAGAAGAAUCAUCUUCCGGAGUAAUAGGAGCUCGAAUUGCGAGAGAACCUGAAAGCGAAGGGGGCCCUUGUGUAGUUAAAAGAGAGACUUGUGGCUUUGAUGCCAUGGCUUGUAGCUCAGAAAGCAAAACACACACAAUUACCAAACAAAAAAAAGAAGUGGCGAGAACUUUAUUUUAUAUUUUUUUCCUUUUUAGGGUUUGUGUUGGUCGUAAUGAUUCUUCGAAUCUUUAAUGGUGUUCAUUGUGAACUUUUUGGUUUAGGGUUGGUUGUGAGGGAAGGAGGAGCCAGUCACAAGCUGUAGGGAUUAGUAGAUAGGUUCUUUGUUUGUUUUUGUUCAUUGUUCAGUAUGGAUGGAUUCGGUUUUGGAGUUUUCUAGGAGAUGAAGACACAAGUGUAAUGUGUUGUAGGACAUUUAGGCUUUGUAUUGUCUCUUGUGAGUGACUAUGAUGUUUGGUUUUGGGAAUAGGCAUUGGGUUGGUGUUUCAAUGCGCCACGCACAAGGUCCGUAGUCCAUACAGCCAUUGAGGGCUUGGAACUUGGAAGCUUUUCAGCUGUCACUAACCUGUUUUGCGGUCACAAUUUUUUUUUCUUUUUUUCGGGUUUUUUUCAGCUCGAAAUAAUUGAAUUUCCACCAUGAGUCCAUUCUGGGGCCAAAAAAACAAAUUGAUUAACACAAGUAGAAAAUUAGAAAAACUUUCAAUUAAAGUGUAACCUCAAUUGAUUUUAUUUCUAAACAUAUUAACUUGGUAAGUUUCAAUUCAGGUUACAGGAAAAUCAAGAGAGGCGGCUUCAAAUUUUAAAUUAAUAUAGAGGUUUAUAUCAUAGUCUGCUGCUUGUAAAAUAUGGUUGUAACCAAGCAGUCUUUCUUUGACUGUCUGCUCCAAUCCCCAUUAUGCGCCAUGACAGUUGCCCAUCCAAACCAUACAAAUGUUGUGGACCUUUUGUUUUUUAUUAUUUUCGCAUAAUAAGACUGUUGCAAAAACUAUAAAUAAGUACUUAAAAUUGAAAUUAAUCAAGUUAAAUUAUAAGAAAAAAAAUACCAAAGAAACAAUAAUAAUUUAGAUGGGCCAAAUUUUCUAAAGCCCAUCACUCAAGGCCCGUUUCUAACCAAAACAAAAAAUUUUAAUUUUGAAUUGGUGAGGUGCGCCAGGCCAGUGCUAUAGUGCAACGCACAGGCGACGCUCGAAGACCCCAGUAGCAAGCUACUGUAGUGAGCCUUCCCCCUAAAAAAAUUAAUUUAAUAUCAUGUGGACCAAUGGCCCACGUAUCAGAUAUUAAACUGAUAAGAACAGAUACUACACUUGAUCUUAGCCAAAAGGCCGAGAAAGGUAUGAUUUGUUAACUGUUGAGCUUCGCUACUUAUAAUGCCAGUCGCGGCGCCAGUAGCUUAGCUGAUCGAUGUGGGAUAGAUACUAUAAAGACUGAUUGUUCGCUUACUGCCAAACCUAAACAGAAGAACAAAAUAACAGAUCAGUAUAUAUUUAUACACCAGCUAAGUACACAAAAUUAGCUUCAAUCUAUAAUCUUAUACAUGGGUUCUAAAACUUAAAUCAAGCAAAAGAAAGAGUGAAUUUAUAAUAACUCAAAAAGAUUAACUAUCUUACCAAAAUAUGCACAUAUCAACAAAAUAACUUCAAUCCGAUAGCAUAGACUUUUGUGAUGUUUAUGUUUCUUUAGAAAUACAUUGAGGAAUUUAUUGACCUGUGAUUCAAUGUGAGACUAGAAGUUUUUCUCUAUAAUUUUUUGUUAAAUUCUUCAAUAUAAAUAAUAAUUUACUUGAUGAAUUAAUUUUAAUUUCCAUUUCAAUAAUUGGUUUCAUAUGAAACUAUAUAAUGUAACUCCAUGGGCUGUGGUUUGGGUUUGGGCUAGGCCCAGCUUUCCCAUUGUUUAAGAAACUCCGAACAGAGACUUACAAGCCCUUUUUCCUCCGCUUCCAAUGGCGGGUUCCUAUAGCGCCACCUUCCCUUUCUCUGCGCGUACCACAAUCCCCACGGCCACCAGCCGUGGAUUUCGACUUAAGCCGCUCCCCGCUAUCUCUGUUUCUGCUUCAUUUCCGUCUAACCGCACAAAGAGGAAAAAUCACUUACGCCCUAAAAUCCUCAAAACCCUAACUAAACCCUUCCCUACCGCUCCUCUCCCUCACAUCUUUCUAGUAGAAAACAUACCAGUACCCAAUCCUAUUUCGUUUCCAUCCGCAAACGACGCCGUCUGCAAGGAAAUUCCUAGCGAAAGUGUCCCUCCUGUAGAAGCAGAUAAUUUUUUGGAAGAAUUUCCUGCAUCGGAGACUAUUGCCGCAGUUGGAGAACCGAGUGGCAUAGUUAGUAAAAUUUCUGCAAAGUCUGUGAUAAAAUACGGGGGUUAUUUGGUUGGGAUUUUUCUGUUUCAAAAUUUUUUUGUUUGGUUGGUGGGAAAUACUAAUUCCCUGGAAAAAGAAGAGAGACGGAUUGAUUUUCGUGGUAAAGUGAAUAUUUUGCCAAAUGGAAGCAAUGUGGCUUACUUUGAUGAAACGGAACUGGAAGAGAAAAUCAGUGAAAUUAGGGCAAUGGCAAGAGAGGCAAGAGAGAAGGAGAAAACGGAGAGAAAGGAGGGUAAUGAAGAGAGUGAAAUUGAGAAGGAGAUUGGUGCAAGAUUGGCUAAGUUAGAGAAGAGAUUGAAUUCAAAGAGAGAAAAAUUACCCGAAUCGUUUAUGAACUAUUUAGGCCUUUUUGGAAAUGAAAAAGAGGAAGAUGGGAUUGGUGAGAAUAAUUUGGAGUUGAAAGAGGAUAAAAAACCACUUAGCUUCAAAAAAAAGCUUAAAUUUAAGAACCCUUCAAUGAACUCAAGGAGUAGUCCGAAAGGGUUUUCAGGUUCAAGGAGCUCUGGAAGGUCAAGGAGCGAAGAUGGGAGCUUUCAAAAUGGUGAAUCAAGACAAAUUGAUCCUGGGACUAUGAAUAUGGAUAGCAGAAGGGAAGACAUAAGCACUCAGUUGAAUUCAUCUCAAAUAGAUGUCAGCAAGUUGCAGAAGGAAAACCAGGAUUUUACAAAGGAAAUUCAGUCUGGUAUGUAAAUAAAAUAUUUUUGGGCGCAUGAUUCAUUAAUUUUUUAUGUAUAAAUAUUUUUUUAUCCUUUUUCAUUUAUGUUUUUGAGGAAAUGAUGAUAUUCGUUUUAUUGAUCUGGGAAAGCAGAUUCUUUUAUACUGUGGAUAUUUUAUAUUUUUGGUUUGUGAUGUACAAUUAUUACUUUAAGAUAGAUUUUAACUUGACAUAUAAAUGGGGGCAAAUUAAAUUUCAUGCUUAAAGGGAGAUAUUGAUGAUGUUGAACACUGGAAUUUGCCACUUUUGCUAUUUGAUAAAUUGCAGUUAUAAAACUCUGUAUGAACAUAGGGUGAUUGUACAAAUUUUUAGGUUCUGCCCAGGAUGCUAGAGAAGAAAGGUUGUCUAGUGAAGAGACAAAGUCACAGAAAUCAAGGGAUUUCGGGAGACAUAAUUCUCAAAGCUUAAGAACACAAAAUCAGAGAACUGCUACAAAAUUUGACGCCCCUGCUUCAUCGAGCAGUAAUGACAGCAGAAACCCUGGAAAGAGACAAGUGGAAAACAGAGUAGGGGAUAAACAAUCAGCUGCACAAACAAAUUUGUGGUGGUCGAAUCUUCCUUAUCUUCUUGUACACAACUGAAACUGUGACUCUCUCUAAUAUUUCUCAAUAAUUUGAAUUGAUAUAUAUAUUUUUUAUGUGCAAUUCCAACCUAAAAACAACAAUUGACCGAUUCCAACAAAAAUGAAUAGUAACUUUGUCCUUUCUAAACCAAUUAAUGUAGGUUUUUACUUUGAUUCCCUGUCAUAAAUUGGUUUUUAAAGUAUAAUUAGCUGUGCACUUAAUCCUUCUAAACCUAUUGCUUAAUUUUUUAAAUGUACAAUAAACAACAAUGAAUUUCUUCAGUUAAUUUUGUCAAGAAAUAAUUUUCUAUGUGCUCAAUUUCAGGGUAUCCAUAUAUGUAGAAGAUCAGAAGAUGAAAGACCAGAAGCACUUUAUACUUUAAGAACACCUUCUCAAGCAUAUAAUCAGGAAGAGUCAUUCUGUGUAGUUGCUUUUGAGGACCAUUUUGACGCCAAUCACUUCUGCUAUUUGCUUGAAUGCUACUUUGAAGAUUUAGGGGAAUUCAGUGUUGAUGUUGUGCCGCUGUCAACAAAAGUAAGUAACACGAAUUGUAUGACUAAGCUAAGCCUUUUGCAGGGCAGAGAUUACCAUGGUGGGAUAUAUGAUUUGUGGGCUGGGUAUACAAGGGAUUAGUAUAUGGAUACUCUUUGGUGAGCCCUUUCAUUAAUUCUAAUGUGAUAAAGGAAAAAUUGAACUCUUGCAGGAACUUCAUGAUGCAGUGAGAUCUAACUCCCAGAAAUUGAUUGUUGUGAGGAAGGGGCAACUUAAGCUUUAUGCUGGUCAGCCAUUUGCAGAGGUUGAGAAAGCUUUGUACUCUUUGCUUGAAUGAGAUCAAGCACUGAGUUUGUGGAAGAAAUAAAUGAUCAAGCUUGGGUUUCUCUUCAAUCCGUUACGGCUGACAAUAUUCUUAUGGAAGUUCCUCAAUAGAUUAGAGUUUAAGUUCUUGUAUAGCCAUAGAGAUCUCUUGAAUAUGUGGACAAUUUUCUGAGAGGAAUUUAGUCCUGUUCAGAGGGUAAGCGCUUGUCCUGGUGCUGACAAUUUUGUUUGCUAUAACUGCGAAUUUUAGAAAGAUAGGCUAGAUUGAUUUUUACGAAGAAAGGGUUAUGAAAAUGAAGUACAAAAAACAUGUAUUAUUUGAAAUGUUCCUAUGAAUAAGAAUUUUUGUUUUGAAAAUUUUGAUGUUCCGUAAUAACCUAAUGGCUGAUUGUCCGCUUCUUUUUAGAUGUUGAUGACUCGCAAAAUAACACCCCAAAAAAAGUGAAAAACCUACAAAUAUAUAUAUAUAUAUAUAUAUAUAUAUAUAUAUUUGGAGGUUUUUCACUUUUUUUGGGGUGUUAUUUUGCGAGUCAUCAACAUCUAAAAAGAAGCGGACAAUCAGCCAUUAGGUUAUUACGGAACAUCAAAAUUUUCAAAACAAAAAUUCUUAUUCAUAGGAACAUUUCAAAUAAUACAUGUUUUUUGUACUUCAUUUUCAUAACCCUUUCUUCGUAAAAAUCAAUCUAGCCCCAGUUCUCUCCAAGAGAUAUACGCUAAUGUGAUUAGCGCAGAAUAUCACUAGUUUUUAUUACUGGAUUCAUGCAAAAAUAGAAUUUACAUGAAAUGGACCUACUACUAAACUUCGUUUUCAUCUUUGUCCGUCAAGCAGUUUCUACCAUGCCUUGUACAACUAGGCUAAUUCUACUGUGAACUAGUAAUUUUCACAAUAGACUGAGAGUGAAUGGUUGGCAAAUUGAAUUGGCAAAAGUUUUGCCACGUCUCCUGCUUCUGUUCUUCAUUUUCCGUAUAUGCUUCGAAAAUAGAAAUAACAAGGUUUCUUGCUGCUUCUCUUGCCUCAGGCAGCCUAUCAUUCAACAAAUCAGCAGCCAUUUGUACAAGGGAAACCAGUCCAAACGCUUUCAUUUCUUCCAAGCCCUGAAAUAGGCACUAUUUGUCAAUAUCAUUUUACCUUACAAGCCAAAAUAAGCAAAUACCAGCCUGCAUCAACCUUGUGAGUUAGCAAAAAAAUUACCAUAUCGGAGACAGAUUUGGAGAUGCACAUGGCAGCUUUGGCCCUGACUCUAAGGUUGGCAUGGCUAACACAACCAUGGAGCUUAUGGAGCAGAGACAGCGGAGUCAUGGACCUCACCAUUGCAUCUAAUGCUCUUUCUGCUUCUUCACACACAAACCUUUUAUCUUGAGAAGCUUUGAGGAGUAGUUGCAACAGCUGUACACCGACAAGACAAGGCUAAUUCAUUAACAAAAAAAGCCAAAGAAAAACAGUACAAUCAACGAGAAAAAGGAAAUAAUUGGUCUCACUAAGUUGUCAAAUGCAUCAGUAGUGAAGUGAAGUAAUUCAUCUCCAAAAGCAUUGAAAAUAUCAGAUGAAGCCAUUAUUGAGGUCUUACACAAAGCACUUCUUGGGUUCUUCAUGGCCUUUACCACCACCAACAAUACCUUUUCCCUAUACAAACCAGACAUUAAGCAUACUUCUUUAGCCUGUCCUAUCACUAAAAAAAGACUUCAUUUUUUCUAAGAAAUAGUUCAUACAAGAUUGGGAGCAAGAGAGAGGAGUGAUGAAGCGCAAAUCGUCUAGCAUUAUUCAGCGAUUCGCAAACCUUUGUCCAGUCCUUUGAAUUUAAGCCUUCAAUUAGGCCCUGCAAAUUCAGAAAGUCAAGAGUCGGACCAAAUACUGUGAAGAAACGAAUGCAGAGGAACCCAUUUGAGAUAGAGCAACACGAGACUUACUUGGAUCUUGGAUUCAGGGUCUGGUAUGGCUUUUAGAUUUUCAGAAGAUAUAUAAUCGACAGUAGCAUCUGCAGAAGCUGGCAGUGGAACCUUAUUUUCAUCAUUUACAAACUCGGCCUGUUUUUGCAUCUGAAGGGAAGCUUUUGCUUGCUUUUUGGGUCUUUCCGGUGUUAUUGGAAGAGCAUUAUCAAUGGGUCUCAAUGCCAUUUUUAAAUUUUUCUGUAGGGUGGGGAGGUUGCGGACAGACUGAGAAUUGAUUUGAAGAAUUUGAUAUGCUAAAAGGCGUUAUUUACUUAUUUAUUGGUAGGUCUGCAAGGCAAAUAGUCGAGGUAUUGUUUUGCCUCUUUUAAAAAUUUAAAUUUUGAACAAAAGUUCAAAAGAGACGUUACACUUUGCAACGGUCGCCAUUUUUUUCUUUUCAGAGGAAUAUCCAAAGCUGGUAAAUCUAACAACAAAAUUAAAAAGUCGGUAAUGUUUGAAUUAUUUUUAUAUCUGAUUCAUGUUCAACCGCAGUCUUCUUCAUGGUUUUGCCUAUUGAAACGGUGCGAAUGAAGUGUUUAGAAGUAAUUUUCAAAUUAAAAAUAAAUUGUUUCCCUGCAUUUUUUAAGUUCUUUUUUCUUAAUUAAUAUGAAAAGAAAAGGGAUUUGAUUUAAUUUUUAUACCUGUAUAGAAACCAAUGCUUAUAGAUUUUGAUUUCACCAUGAAACAAAUAUAAUAAUAAGAGAAUAUACUUAAAAAUAGUAUCAUUUUUAUUUUUAAAAAAUACUUUCGCGGGAAAAAUGAACAAAUAAUCUACAUAUUUAAAUUUAUCAAUUAUAAUUUUUUUUUUGAAUGUAAUGUCAAUUAUAAUUUUAAAAACUUAAUCAUAUGAGUCAUAUAUCACUAAAUAUUGAAAUUUCAUUGUAAAUUAUUCUUUUUUAUUUUAUAGUUUUUAAUAUUUAAAAUUUAAUCAUUGCAUUAUUAUGAAAUUUUUAUUUAAGUUUGAAAAUUUAAUGUUUAUAAUCUAUAUUUAUCUAUAUUUUUAUAUUUAUACCUAAAUAUUAUUGUCACUACAUCUAUAUUAUAUAUAUAUUUAUAAAUAUAUCAUAUUCUUUAUCUAUUUAUAUCUCAACUAUCUCUUUGCUUAAUAUUUCAUUUCUUUAUUUUUUUUAAAUGGUUCUUUUUUUCUAUAUUUUAAUUGGACCACUUAAUAUUUUUUAAUUUAAAUAUUAAUACUUAUUUAUGAUAAUUAUGACUUUGAAAAUCUAACUACAUUUAUUUCCUAGAGAAACUUUUAGUCAACCGAAAUAGUUCAACAUUUUUAGAAAAAUGGUUUUCUAUAGAAAUGCUGAAUCACGUUUAUAGAACAUCUUAUUUAUAUAUCUAUAUCUGUAUAUUUAUCUAUCUAUAUCUAUUUUUAUUAUAUAUAAAAAUGGAAAUAAGGGAGAAUAAUGGUAUUGUCAUGCUGUCAUUGUGAAAUUUAGGCUUACUACGGGAUUCGGGGGCCUUAGGCCCACCCAGGUCUUAGUGCAGGUCCGGUCCAUGGAAAUGGGUCGUAACAUUAAGAUAUCCUAAAAUAACUUUAGUCUUAGCUAAUUAAAAAAUUUUAACCUAAAAAUAUAUAUAAUAUUUCUAUAAUUUGAUGGAUGUUUUUUUUUUGACUUUUUUUAAUAGAUAAAUAUAUAUAGAUAAUUAAGCAUUUCAAAAUUUUAAAUUUUUACUAUUAUUAUCUUGUUAUGUCUAAUUAUAUUUUAUUACAUUAUAUUACUAUGUAAAUUAUUAAUAAUAAUUUAUUAUUUCUAUAAUUCAGCUUCAACAUUUUUAUUUUAAAUAAUAUAUGUAAAUAUGAGACAUUUGAAAUUUUACAUUUUUUUUAGUUUAUUUUAAAUAAAUAUAUCUAGAUAUUCAAAUUUUGAUUUAAAAAAGUAUGAUUAAAAUUUUUUAAUUACAAAUUAACUCUAAUUUGGUUGGCCAAAAAUUAAGAUAAAAAAUCAUUAUUUUUAAACAUCUCAAAUUUUAUUAAUUAUAUUGAUGUCAUAUAUAAUUCAAAUCCUAUUUCUAUUAAAAAAUAUAUAAUUUUAUUAAUAAUUUUUUAAAUGCUUUCAUGAUUUUAAUAGGCUCUAAAUAAAAAUAAAAAUGAAAAUUUAUUAUUAUUUAUUAAUAUUUAAUUUGAUAUAUUAGAUUGGUUUUUAUUCUAUUAUUAAAAUAUAUUUAUUUACUACAAAAUAUUACAGUGAAAGUUAUUAACAAAACAUGUAAAUUAAUUAUAUAAUGAUUUUCAUAAAUCAAUUUGAUUUUUAUUUUUAAAAAAAUAAGAGCAAUUAACGUAUAAUAAAAACUGUACGAAUCAAUACGUAGACAUAUAACCAAAAAAAAAAAAUAUUUAUGAUAUCUAUAAAGUGUAAUGCAUUUUAACCACUCAAUCUAAAUAAGAAUUUAUACUUUAAUAGUAUAUAAAUAAAAAAUCAAACGAACACGAAGAAUGAGCAUAUAAAAAGCAUAGUCAGCAUAGUCAACCUGUCAUAAAAAAGGCUAGUAAUAAUAUAGAAACGGUGGCAAAAAAUAAAGGCUCAAUUGCAAAUAAUAUAAUUAGAGGAAGAUACUUAAUAAUGUAUAUAUCACAUGUAAAAUUAUGGAUAGCGGAUUGUCUUAUAAAAUAAUUGAUAAUGUAUAUAUCACAUGUAAAAUUAUCAUGUAAAAUUGGGGGCAUGUCCAGUGAAAUAAUGUACAUCAAACCUUAAAUCCUCAGUUAUUCUACAAUCAUUUUCCUGUUGCUCCAAAUCCUCCAUAUCCUUGGCUGCUUCAUAUUGAGCACCUAUGGGAAGGGCAAUUGACUCCAACAAAAUGGAAUCAGAAAGCCAGAGAACUGAUCGAACUUGCCAAAGCAUCCUUUGUACCAUGCCCGUAUGAGAAAUAGUAAUGUCAAAAACCAGUAUCCCGUACCAUUUGCAUGAGCAUGAUAGCAGGUGCAAUUCCACAAGCAAGCGAAAAAGAAAAUGAAAAAACAAAAUUCAUGAUCACAUUGCAAGCAUCCUUUGUCAGGAGUAAACAAGAAGAUCCAAACUCCACAUGCACCCAGAUGGGGAGUAAGAUCCUUGUACUCGCCUGGCACUAAUUUUCUGGAGGUAAAUUGGUAAGUUUGACUUACAAGCUUAUACCAGCUAGGAUGUCAUUUGUAGGUAUGUGACCGCUGAAUUUAACUUGCAGAGAUGCUUGCAAAGAGGAAGCUUCAAUUCAUAACCUGGAGGAUUUUUUUAAAAUAAGUCAUGAAUUCAAGCAUAUAUUAAGUAAUAACAUAUAUAAUCUAUUUUCUAAAAAAUUAUUUAUAGGUUGAACACAUCAAUCUAUUUGGUCAAAUCAUAGCUCGAGGUUCAACACCUAGGUUGUUUAAUUAGUUUUUACAAGAGUAUUCAUCAUGCUAUCCAUCAAAAUGCGAUAUCAACAGUACAUUAACAGGACCAGAUACCCAUGAAAAGGAAAAAGAAACACAUUUUACAGUCCUAACAGCCGUGUUUGCAAACCAAAUAUUCAUCAAUUAGUCAGGACUAAAGAGAAAAUGGCUCAGAUGAACCACAAGCAAAUGAUAAAUAUUGAAAGCAAUUUUUUGAUAACUGUAUAAUCAAUAAGAUAAGAACAUACCUUUGCAGAGAGCAACUAUAGCCCCACUGAGGAAACGGAUAUGUAAAUGAUAAAGUGAGAAACAGAUUAUGAUAUCAAAUGCCUUAGCAUCGGAUAAAAUCAUGAUGAUGUUACCAAGAUCUUGCAGCAUGUUGAGAAUUUGCUAUUUCCCUUAAUACAGCCCCCACAAUUGCUGCCUGUUCAAGACAACCAGCUGUAUGCAGUGCAUCCCCCAGAGCAAUACAAGUUUUGGUAUGUAUAUUAAAACCUUUCAUCCGAGUUUCCUCGAAAAGCUUAUAUGCCUCCAUUGCUCUGUUUGCAUAACUCAAUCCUUCUAUUAUAGCAUUAUAGCAUGCAGAAUCAGGCACACCCCCAUUUGCCUUAAACCUUUCAAAAAGUGAAUUAGCAUCUGAAACGUUUCCAGCCUUUGCAAGUCCAGCAAUCAUAGUAGUGUAAGUAAUGGUAUUGGGUUUUAACCCUUGCUUUUGCAUCUCUUGCCAAAACACAAAGGCCUUGUUAAAUUUUCUAAUCCUGCAGAGACCAUUUAUGAGAAUGCUAUAAGUUAUAUGAUUGGGAGUGCAUUUCAAGUUUUUCAUGGAUUGAUAGCAGACAAGGGCUUCAUUAGUUUCCUCUGCUUUCACCAAUGCAUCAAGCAAGCAAUUCCAUGUGUAGACAUUGGGUGUUAAACCUCUUUGCAUCAACUCUUCCAUGAUUAGGUAUGCCUCAUCAAUUCUACCCACUUUUCCAAACCCAUCAAUGAGACUGCUAUAGAUAACAACGUUUAACUCUAUGCCAUUAGACUUGGCUUCUUCAAAGAGCAUGUAUGCUUCAUCAAGCCUAUCAAUUUUGGCAAGCCCAUCAAUCACAGAACCAUAGGUGACUACAGUUGGUUGGUGGCCCUUUGUUUUCAUUUCCUCCAGCAGCUGAUAAGCUUUAUUCACCUUACCUGACUUGCAGAACCCAUCAAUAACAGUGUUGUAAGCACGGGUGUCCAGAAUACAACCCUGGUCUUUCAUUGCAUAGAACAACUCAUAAGUUUCACGUGCAAAACCAGCCUUCACUAGGCCAUGAAUUAGGAUAGAAUAACUUCGAACAUCUGGAAUGAAUCCUCGAGCUUUUAUUUCCUCAAACAAAGCCCUUCCUUUCUCAGUUUCACCAGCUUUGAAAACACAAUCCAUGUAGGUAUUAAGAAGCAUGAGAUCAGGAGAACAACCUCCACGGAGCAUUUCCUUGUAUAUCUUGUGACCAUCCUCCUGCCGGCCACACCUGAAGAAGUUUCUAAUGAGGGAUGUAUACACAAUUGGACUUGGGAUUCUAUCAGAAUCCAACAUCUGUUCAUAAAGCCUGUAGGCAUCAUCUAACCUACCUUGUUUGCCCAAACCAUCUAUAAGCGAACAGAAAGUAACCUCAUUUGGUGUGCAAACAUUAUGAUCCAUUCCUUCAAAUAUAGAACAGGCCUCAUCAAGUUUGUUAGCUUUACAUAGUCUGUCAAUCAUUAUGUUUACAGUCAUGACAUUAGGAAAUAAACCAGCUUUUCCCAUUGCAUCACGAACCUUGAAAGCAUCCUCAACUUGUCCUGCUUUGCAUAGCAUGUCUAUUAGAAGAUUAUAUGUUACAUAAUUGGGAACCGCAUCUUUCUUCAUCUCCUCAAAGAUUCUUGAUGCCUCCUCUAAUCUUCCCAUCCUCCCAAGGGAUGUCAGUAUGCAAUUGUAUGCAAUCACACUUGGAAUGCACCCCUUUGCCUUUUGUCUCUCAAGUAAACCAUAUGCCUCAUCAAACUUCCCAGCUGAUCCAUAACCCAUAAUCAAUGUGUUGUAAGCAUACGCACAAGGAACUUUUCUGUUUUCUUCCAUCUGCUCAAAUAUUUCCACAGCUUCAUCCAGUCGGUUUGCUUUGCAAAGAACACCUAUCAUGCUGGUAUAAGUAACGUCAUCAGGCAACAAACCAUUUGCUUUCAUCUCAUGAAAGAAUUUCCAGGCCAUAUCCACUUUACCCACCUUACCAAAGCAAUCUAUACAGACAUUAUAUAGAACAAUGUCAGCAUCAAAACAAUUGCUUCUCAUCUCAUCCAACAAGGAGAGAGCAGCAUCAAGACGACCCUCCUUGGCAAAUACACGAAUCACAGUUGUAAACAAAUGUAUACUUAAUUCAUAACCUAGUUCCUGCAUUUGAUGAAAAAGAGUAAGCAUAAGGUCAGACUCAUGAGCUCCAGCUAAAGCACCAAUCAAAGUCGUAUAAGCUGAAAAUGCAGGGCGAAAUUUGAAUUUCCUCAUGCAUUGAAGAAGAUCGAAAGCUUCUCUGAGCUUCUGCGACUUGACACAGCUCAAAAUUAACUCAAUGCACGUGUUAGUCGAUGGGCCAAAUCCAGCGAUACUCAUUUCUCCUAGAAUUUGUUCGAAAUAUUCAAACUUUCUCGUUUUAGCCAUUACCAUUAUAAGUGAAUUGUAUGCCUCUGGACAUAGUGCCUGGUCAGUUUUUUUCUCAGCCCAUCGAAAAUAAUUUACUGCUUGAUUAACAUCCUUCAGCCUCCUUAAGACUCGAAUAACACAUUCUGGUUUAGGACUUUCAUCAAGCAUGGACAAAGCAUUCUCAACAUCGGGUCCCCAAGUACCACCUUCCAAAAUACGGCAUACACCAUCCACUUCUUUCUUUACGCUGUCAAUACUUCUCCAGUUUUCUUGACUAUUCCUAUCCAUAAACGAAGAGAAUUUCCCACCCAAUUCAGAAGAAGAAGGGCCAUUAGAUAAAGAAACCAAAUUCCUCGAAUUGGUAAAUAUGUACAAGCACUUCGAAUCACACCUCAAUAUUGCUCCUGAAAGAGAAAUUUAAGUUGAUACAGUUAGAAUUUUGAGCUCAUCAGAAAAUGGAACAAGAAGCAGCAGCGCCCGGUUUACCUGGAUUCCUCAAGAUCAUCUUCAUAUAUGCAUCUCUGUCCAGCAGCUAUGCCUUUUAUCUUCCAGAUCUGUCCUGAGUUUUAGGGUUUAGGGUUUAAGAGUAUGCAUGUGAGUUGAACACGAGAGAGUAAACCAGAGACGAAGAAGACGACGGGAAUCCAAAACCGUACCGUGCAAUAUCACAAAUUAUUCACUUAUUGAUCGUCAACUAAAAAUUGAUGCCUCGCUUUCUUAAAAAUAUUACAAUAUAUAAAAAAUGAAAAAGUUCACUUAAUUUAUACCCUGUUAAAACGCGCCGUUUCUUCCAAUUUUAUAGUCUUGAAAACGCUGCGUUUUUAUCUGCGACUUUUGUGUGUCUAAUGUCCCGUACAAAUCAGAGUCUGCCUGAUGAUGGAUUAAUUUUAACGGCAUUUCCAAAUACACACUCAUAAAAGCUUUUUUCUGCUUUACAAUGGCUUCUCCUCUACUUUGAUCGCAACUCUCUUUACUCAGAACAGCAAAAGAACCUCAAAUUCUAACAAUGGAAGGUCAAUAUGCACAGCAACCUCGCACUUAUGGACCGCACCAGAUGAAAAUGACGAUUCAGCCCUCGCAGCACUCUGACAAUGACCGGAGCAGUAGCGAGCUCCGUGCACUAGAUUGUAAUCUCUCUUCCCUCUGUGACCACAUCCAGAUGGAGGGCUUUAAUUCCGGCUCCUUCUCCGAUGUCGUCGUUCACGCUAUGGGCUCCACCUACCACCUCCAUCGUCUCAUCCUCUCUCGCAGUUCAUAUUUCAGGUUCUAAAUUUAUCUCUUAAUUUGAUCGAUUCAUUGAAGAUAUAAAUUUCAUAGUUACUUGAAUGUGGAUUGUGCCUGUGGAAUAAUUUCAUUUUAUUAAGUUACUAAUUAGUGAGAGAGACUCUGUCGUUUUAAUAAUGUGUUUGUUAGGAACAUGCUACAUGGUCCUUGGAAAGAAGCUAGUUCUCCUGUUGUGAACUUGCAUGUGGAUGAUAAGAAUGUUAAUGGGGAGGCAAUAACUAUGGCUUUGGCUUAUCUUUAUGGGCAUCACCCCAAGUUUAAUGAUAACAACGCGUUUCGUGUCUUGGCUGCUGCUUCCUUUCUUGACCUUCAGGUAUCACAUUACUGGUUCCCAGAUUCUUGAGUCUGAUUCUUAAGUAUCAUUCUUUAUGUUUUGAUUGCAAUGCAGGAUUUGUGUGCUAUAUGCACAGACUUCAUUAUAUCUGAACUGUGGACUUCUAACUUCUUGGCAUAUCAGGUUAAGUUGGAUUUUUGCUACUUCUUUAUGCACCAGUAUAUGGUGCUUCCAUAGUUUCAGAUACUGAGGAAUCUUUUUGCAAGUCAGGUAUUUGCAGAGAGCCAAGAUUAUGGUUUACAUGGAGAGCGUGUAAGAAAUGCUUGCUGGGGCUACCUUUGUCAGAGUGGUGCCAUGGAAUUGAAAGAGGUAAAAGUCGAAGUAAUUAAUAUUUAAUUACAUGUAUGCAUUGUGGGUUUCAGCGGUUAUUGCCCUUUUUAUCUUUGAAGAUUACUUCCUCUCUGUUUUAGGGAAGGAAGAUAUAAUUUAUGGCAAUGCAAUAUAAAAUAUAAAUAGAAUCAGACAAAGUUCAUAACUCCUGAAUUUAUCAACAAUGCAAGUAUAAUAGAUUAUGGUUCACACCAGAAGCAUUGAGAUUUCCAUUCAUUGUUUGUUAGAAUCAACAUCAUCAAAUGCCACAGGGAUUACUGAUUAGAUAUACUCAGUAAUACCUUUGUGAAUCUUCUUAUGAAACCACUAUGAUUUCAUGCUGCUGUGAAAAUUCAUAAGUGUUGCAGUAUUGAGUAUUAAUGUUCAAAUCAUAGAGAACCUACAAAAAUAAGAGAAGUCAUUAUAAAUGAUUCAUCAUUCUCAGAAACUUUGUUGAUUAUGAUUUUAAGUUUUGAGGAACACAUUUUGUCUUUUUUUUUUCCCCUCUGUUAAAACAUGUCUUCUCAGAAUUUUAGAAUUUGUGAAAAUGUUAUAGUGAAUGUUCUUUUUUGUUGCAUGAUUUAUUAACAUUUCAAUCUAGUGUACUUCUCAGUGGAUUGUACUAAAAUUUCAACUUAGCUUGCUUAAUUUUUGUCCAUUUUGUGGAAAUUUCCAGUUUAUGAUGCAACUACAAUCUUUUAACACAACUGCAGUUCGAUCCUGUUUUUAAACUGUGUUAUUUUUCAAAGAUUUCAAUUUAUUCAUGUGAUCAUCUUUUGACAUUUGGUCAACCAUCUUUUUGAAUUAUUUAUCCUUUCAUUUUGAUAGGUGCUUCCCAAGCUUUCUUCUCAAACUCUGCAUGCAUUACUGACCUCAGAUGAAUUAUGGGUACCUAGUGAAGAGAAACGGUAAGAGGUGUAGGUUGGGUUGCUGCAGAAUUGGGUUUACUGGACACUGGUUGAAGUCUUGAUUAGGUUGGAUAAUCCAUGUUUUCUUUUCUGUUAAAAGGUUUGAAUUGGCACUAUACACACUUCUUGCAAAAGGUGCUCUUUGCAAGACAGAACAUGCUGAGCAAGGAAAUUCUACUCCAGAGAUGGAUGUGGGUAUUCAUUCUGACUCCUCCAAAGCAAAAGGAAAAAAUUUGGUCGAUAAUUGCCCUAGAAAGAGGACAGAAUCAGAGCUAGGACAAUGUUUAAAAGAUGAGCUAAAAGGCCAAAGCAUGAUUCAUGGUCAUAUGGUUGAACUUAUUGAUUCCAUGGAUGACUACCAAGUAGUAGUUUCUGAUUCCAAACAGCCAAAUUUGGACACUGUACAUCCUCAUGGUGUGGAACAAUCUUCAUCAUUGUGUAGCAAGUUCUCAGAAAUGAAUGGAAAUAGAACCUCAUGUUGUUAUGGUGAAAUGCCAAUCGGUGUUGGAGCAAGUGGACUAGGGACCAGUGGGUUGGCCGUGGAGGGGCCAUCUGAAGCAGGCUCAUACAAUUUGAAUAACAACAAUUGGGUUUCAGGUGAUCAAUCUAGGCAUUGCACAUCAAUGGAACAGUCUUGCGAUGGAAUCAUACUCAAUGAUUGGGGAAGAUGCAGUGUGACUCCUCUUUCAUGGGGCGGAAGAGUUGUGGGAAGAAGACAGGUAAAAAGUUAUGCUAAAGGGAAUUUUGUGGUCCAUGGCGAGGACUAUGAUACUUUUGUCAAUAUAUUUGAAGGGGGUUCACUUUUAUAUUGUAACAUGUCUUUUGAGGCACUUUUGAAUGUGAGAAAACAGCUUGAAGAAUUGGGUCUUCCUUGCAAAGCUGUGAAUGAUGGUCUUUGGCUUCAGGUUUGUUAUUGAAAUCUGUUUGCUUCUAAUAUUUUUGUUUCUUCACCAUAUAUUGAAAGUUUACCUGUGUAUAACAAAGAUAUUGAGAAAUGGUCAAUUUUUCUUCUUUUAUCUCACUAAUUGAGUCAUUCGCUUGGUUCUCAGACUGAAUUUCGGAAGUCAUGUGGUCACCUCAUCCCUAACCAUCUGGCCUAUCGCAGUUUCUUUAAAUAGACAAUUUUUGGUUCAAUCUAGAAAAUCAGUACUGGUUGAUAAUACACCUAAAUCUGUCCUUUCUCUCUGUCAAUUGGAAGAUGUAAAAUUUACAUAUUUUCUGUCUUGAUUAAAGCAUUUGUUUUCUCAUGAGCCACUGUCUUUACUUGUGGCUUUUAUUAUUGAUUUUUAAAGUUUUUCAUUUGUUUAUUACAUAGAUGCUUUUAAGUCAAAGGGUGCAAGAAAUUGGUUUAGAUACCUGUAAAGUUUGCUGCUUUGCAAGUAUGGCAUGCACUUGCAGGCAACCAUUUGGCUUUUCACAAGGAGUUACCACAACAGGUUAUUACAUGCAAGAGCAUGAGCACAAUAAUUCUCCUGGUAGCACAGGAAAUAUAUAUGUUGCUGAUUCUGCUCAAGGUGAGGGUAGUGGCCUACUUAGACCAGUACGAGUGCAUGUUAGGGGACCUAUUGAUGGUCUUGCUGGUAUUGGACGUGGAACUACAUUUGUUCCAACUGCUGCAUGGCCUCCUACACGUUUUGUCUUUUCCCGUGUGCCCUUUAAUAUUGGCAACAGAAAUUGCCAGCAAUCUAUUGCUAAUGAAGAUUCAGAGAGUAGAACUGAUCACAAUGGAGAUCUAUCAGUAGACGGGUUGACUGCCGCUUUGGUUGGUUUAAGCCAAGGAGUUAGCAACACCACAAAUGUUCAUGGAGAGCAUACGGAGAGAGGGUAUGAGACUGAACUGCAAGGAAGAUUGUCUGGAAUGUCUAUUUCAGCACCAAGUACAAGUGGUAUUGCCGUCCAGAUGCUUGAUUCACCAGAACACGCUAUUGGAAUUGACUGGGAGAACACAAACAGUUCCUCUAUAUCUUUAGAUAUGAAAACCCCUUUAAGCCAUUUUCCUCCAUUCCGUUUUGGGUAAGUUAUGUAUUUUUUCUAUGGCUAUUUAUGCAUAUUUCUUAGCGUUAGUAAUUUGUUUCUGGAAAGACACCAUGUUGGGAAGCUUCUGCCAACUGUCUGGAGAUGUACUGAAUCCUUUUGGCCACUACCACCUGGAUUUUUCAAAUGAACUAUACAACUGGAGGUAGAUCUCCUCUUUCCAAUAAAUUCCCUGUCCCACCUAGAAUUUGAACCGAAGACCCUCUGGUGAAAUUUGAAGUCUUGAUAGGGACCCACCCCAAGGAAUUGAACAUCAUUCUUUAUUGCUCAUUUCUUUUUCUUGAAUUGCCAGUUCAUUUUAUUGUAUUAGUUGUGUACACAAAAAAAAAAAAAAUAAAUAAAUCUUGUUGGCAACCAUUUCUCUCAAUUCCCUUUGAAAAUGAAUGUUGUAAAAUGAAAGACAUUGAAAAUGAAGUCCUUUGACCUGACAUAUGGCAUAUCAGAAAGUCUUGCUCAACUUCAUCUGCUAGUCUUAAAGAGGGGUUGUCAUGAUUUUGGCCUAUCCUCAUAGUUUCGAUGACAGUUCCACUUCUGCAACAUCAUUUUCUUUUCUCUCUCUCUCUCUCUCUCUCUCUCUCUCUCUCUCUAUAUAUAUAUAUAUAUAUAUAUAUAUAUUUAAUGAUUGGUUUUCCCUUACUUUUUUGCCAUUUUUUUGUCUGAAUUGGCUAUGGCACGACAGGGUUGAAUUUGAGGAUGUGCACAGGCUCAGUGAUGGCCAAGUCAAGCACUCUCCAGAAUAUUUUUAUGCUGGUUCUUUGUGGAAGGUAUCUGAAAUAUCAAAAACUACAUCCAGCAUGUGGAAGUUUCUAAAUGUCUAUGAGGCUUUGUUUUUUCACUUUUUAUUGUUUUUGUUUUGGGUAAACUUUACACGAUCUGUCUGAUUUUUUAGGUUAGUGUUCAGGCGUUUAACGAUGAAGAUCCUCAAGGACGCAGGACCCUUGGUAAUAUUUUAUUGACUAUAAACUAUUACUUUUGGCUACAUGCUACUCUAUGUUUAUCAGGGUGAAAAAAUAAAUUAUUUUCCAUUAAUCCAAUCGUAUAAACGUCUUGAAACUUUUCAGGAUUGUUUCUUCACCGACGCAAGGCAGAGAUUACUGACUCGCUUAGAAAGGUUAGUAUUACCCAUAGCAAAUCAAAGUCUUAGGUGGUCUGUUCGAUCAAUUAUGGAAAUAUAUUCUUUCUUAUUCUUUUUGCAGUUCUUUCAGCUUCAAUUUUUUUAUGACAUCUUUCAUGUUUUGUACUUUUCUUUGUCAUUGUCGUAUCCCCUUAGGAAACUGCCUGAGUAUUUUAACUUUUUACUUAUAAUUAAAGUUUUCAAUUGGCACUCAAGACGAACACUACUUGUUUUCAGGUCCAUAUGUAUGUGGACUCUCGUGAAAAGGUCACUGCUCGUUAUCAGGUGAACUUACAACUGAACAAACUGUUGUCAACAUAAUUAUAUGCAUAUUGGUAAUGCAAUAAUAUGCGGUAAUAACGAGGGAUUUGCAAUGCUUUCAUUUUUCAGCUCAUAUGCCCAUCAAAGAGAGAAGUUAUGGUGUUUGGAAGCUUUAAACAGCGGGGAACUCUUUUACCGAAAGCUCCUAAGGGAUGGGGCUGGCGUACUGCUUUGCUAUUUGAUGAGCUUGCGGAACUUCUCCAAAAUGGGACUUUGCGAGUGGCUGCUGUAGUGCAGCUUGUGUAAAUUUUAAAAGGUAUACCCAAGUUCUCUGCAGGGAAAAGUGGCACCUGAGUUCUUAGCAGCUAUAAGAAGGUUGAUUCUCUAAAGCAAGUUCAAAUUGGUCUCCAGUGCUGUUUCAGAUGUAAACCAUGGAGUACCCUUGCAUUCAUUGCUUCCUAUUCCUAAAAAUUUUAUUGAUAUAUUCUGAGUCGCAUCAUGCAAUGCCAUUUUUAAUUAUAGAAGAUGCUCUGCUACCAGGGAUCAAGCUGAACUGAACUGAAUGGUUGAGCUCUGGUGGUUGGAUUUUCAAGAGAGGAGGCCUUACUGACAUUUUUAGUUUCCAUCGUGUGUAUUUAUUAUAGAAACAAAAUAUAUGUGAAUAGAUUAUGUUCUGCAUAUAUCAAAGCCAUCACUGGUUCUGCAAGCUUACAUAGUGUUGGACUGUGUAUUGUCUCUGUUUUAUGAAAAUGUUCACAGUUUAUGACAAUGUGUAGACGGAGCUCAACACAAACGCGAAAUUCACUCACUGUUUGCAGAAAUUGGAACCGUCGAGUGUCGCCUUAAGUUUGAAACCAUUGCUGUAAUAUAAAUAGAGAAAAUUAUGAUUUUGUUCUUAUAUUUUUUGAAAUAUAUCAUUUCGUAUUUAUUUUUUCCUUCUGUUACACUAUCCUUAUGCUAAUACCUUUAUACGGUCAAAAUCAACUAUUUUAUAUAUACUUAUCAAAAUUAAUUAAGGUCUUUAUAUUUAACUGAAAAAGUACAAAAAGAUAAAAUAGUGCAAUAAAGAUAAAAGAUAGAGAGGAAAACAAUGAAUGUUUUAAAAUAUAAGGGCUUCUUGUAUAUUAUAGCAAAAUAAAAUAAUAAAUUCGUGAUUUUCUCUAUAAAAUAUGACAAGAAACAAUUUUUAGAUAAAAUUAUCUUCUUCUAAUCCAAAAAAAAUUUGUAGCCACGUCAUGCUGAUUGGAUAUCGUAUGUUACAUUAAUUAAUUAAUUUAACCGAAAAAAGUGAUUGUCUUUUGUCGUUUAUUUUUGGAUGCGUAGCCUCUCCGAGAACGAUAUUUGUGUCUACCUGGAAAGGUAAGUUGCCAGUGAUUUUGUUGAGAGGUUGUCGUUACAUUGAUCAAGGGAAAAGUGCCUGCCUCCAAUUAUUUCUAAAGAUUCGCCUUCCGCCUGUUCUGACAAAACGACACGUCGUCUUCAGUUGGGUCGUUCACUCGGAUAGGCUGGAAAGUUGCCAAAAACUCGUAAACGUCUUGCUUCGACGACUGUCGUCUAAAAUCAUUUAAGAACAGUAUAAAUGUGUGGUUGUUUGGCCUUUUUCAUUUGACGCGUCUCUCCCUCCCAAUCUUCAAUCAUCUCUCAACCAGUAAAGGAAAAAGCAAAAAAAAAAAAAAAAAGAAAAAGAAAAAAAAAAAAAAAGAAAAAGAAAAAAAAAAAAAAAAAGAAAAAGAAAUGCAAUCUCUGAAAUGCAGAAAAUCUCAAUUGAAACCAAAACCCUAAUCUCUAGUCUUUCUCAAUCUGUCCCAAAGGCCGAGGCUGGGCCGAUGAAUGAUGAUUUCCUCUACACAUAUCAAGUAGAAAGAUUUAAAUCGGUGAGUUAUGCUGCCUUCUAAUGCGCUUCCCGGGAAUGCUGUGCAAAUUUAAUUUCUCUUUGAUUUGUACAUGAAUUGCAAUAGUGAUUAUUAUUGGGUAGAGAUAGAGUUAGUUUCUCUCUCACUUGAGCAAUGAAGAAUUUUUGGCUCAUUUUUACUGGUAUCCGUGAAGUUUUGACAUGCUAAUUUCCGCCUGCUUUUGGUAUUACGAUGCUCACGAGCCAAUUGUUUAUGUCCUGCUCAUGGUUUGAUCACUAUCAUUUGCUUCUGGGUUGUCUAUCAUUGUGCUGGAAAUGGAUGUUUGAUUUGUGAUGGUAGAAAAUUUAUUUUCAUUGCAGAUGGGAAAGAACAAGCAAGGUCAGGAAAAUGAAAAUAGAGCUACUAAGGCUGUAUGGAAUAAGGAGAUGGUGCAUAUAUUUUGUGAUAUUUGUAUUCGAGCCUUCCAAAUGGGCAUGCGACCUGGAACUCACUUUACAAAGCAAGGAUGGAAGUAUAUAAUUAAACACUUCCAGAAGGAGAGUGGACAAAAUUUUAGCAAAAAACAAUUGAAAAACAAGUGGGAUGGAAGUAAAAAGGAAUGGAAACUUUGGAAAGCUUUGAUAAGCGAAGAAACUGAAAUUGGUUGGGAUCCAAAGAAACAAACUCUUGAAGCCUCUGAUUCUUGGUGGGAUGAAAAGAUUAAGGUUAGUUUUGAUUCAUGGAUCAUGAUGUUAUGGAUUAUGAUCAUGCAUGUGCAAUCUCUUUUGUAAUUUUGGGAUUCACUUUUUUUCCAUUUUUUUUGUUUUUUAUUUUCUUUAAUAAUGUAGGCUAUGCCAGCAGCUAAAAAGUUCCAAAAUGCGGGUAUUGAACCUGAACUUUGUGCAAAAUAUGAUGUCAUGUUCAUGGAUACAGGGGCUACUGGAAAUUGUGCUUCAACUCAUUCAAUAGUUGUUCUGCAAAAUGAUAAGGAUGGCAAUGAUGAAUCACCUAGUAAUAAUGUUAUGCCAUCGGAAUCAGAUAAGGAUGGCAAUGAAGAGUCACCCAGUAGUAAUGACAUGCAGUUGGAAGGGAGUGGCUAUUCAAGAAGUGAACCUAAUUUUGUUGAUAGUUUGGAGCAAAUUAUGGAUGGUGCAAAUAUGUCAUCAGCAAUGUUGGAUGGUGCUAAUGUUUCAUCCGCUCUACCUACUCAAUGCAUACAAGCCACUUUAGACCAAGAUGCCAUGUUGCUCGAGGGGCAAAGGAAAGAGAGAAAACAGAGAAGGAAUGAUGAGUUUGAUAUACAAGUUGAUAUGACUAAGAAACUCAAACUCGGGAGGAGGCAAUUGGAAGGAUUAGCAAAGUUAUCUCAGCAAAUUAACAGAUUGAUGGCCACCGUCGAAAGUAGUAGUGUAACUUCCAAGAGAACUGAUCUACCAGGAUGUAGCAUACCUGAGGUUUUAGCUGACCUACAUUCUAUGCCAGAGAUUGUGAAAGGCAGUGAACUUCAUUUAUUUGCUACAGACUUGUUUCUAUCCAGGGCAAAGAGAGAGGUUUAUGCUUCCUUAGGGGAGUCGGAUGUCAAAUUAACUUGGCUAAAGUAUCAACAUGCAAAGUCCUCUUGAUAUAUAGCUUGACUGUAGGUUGUCCUGUGCAGAAAUCUUUAUUGUUUCCUUAACUCCUGGCGUGAAAUUUAGAGCUACAUCAUUUUUUAACAUUUUUGGUGUCUUUUGCGUAUAAUUGUUUUUCAGAUAGAAUGAAUUAAUAAUAUAUUUUCUUUGUUUUAUGUCAUUUAUUCCUCUGUGUUUUGCCUUCAUAGAGGCAUACUAUUUAUCAGAUAGCAAAGAUGAUAAAACUUUAUGCUUUUUUGAUACUUCUGGCUCUAUAGCGCUGUUGUUGGAACUUAGAAGAGCAUUCAAGUUCAGUUUUCUCUCGUGGUUUCUCUAGUAGAUAAACCAAAAGAAAAUGGAAUUCUUAUCCAUAGCGCUUUCAACCUGAUGGAACUUGAAAAUGCAUGGGACUUCACUUGAUAUGCCACAUAUAUUUGUACUUCUGACGAAAUCCGAGGUAGGAGUUAUGAAAAGCGGAAAAUGAGCGACUGACAGGACUAAUCUGUCGUUCGCUGGAGGAUAAUAAUCGCACUCGUUGUUCAUUGAUUUCGUUGUUGCUAAAAGCGAUGUCACAUAAAAGAGGCCCAACGACAGUACGUAUUGAAUUCUGUCGUUCGCGCAAUAGAACUAGUCGUUAGAAGUUAAAAGUAGUAUGUGGGAUAGAAAUACAUCUCUUUUAUGUAUUCUAAAGCCAUAAAUAUAAUAACACUAUUAUUAUAUAUCAUCAUACUGCUGUGAAAUAUUGAUACUUUAAUUUUACAAUAUCAUCACAUUGGAUAUUUUUUUAAUAUAUUAAUUAUAUUGAAAUUAUUAAUUAUAUAUGUUAAUGCCAUCCAAAAUUACAAAUUAAUAACAGGUAUCAGGUUAGAUACCACCCAAGGCGUUUGUCUGGUGGGCGGUGAUCCGGUGGUGAAAACCUUAUCAUCCACAUGCUUGAUGAAGGUUCCAUAUGUUUAAAUAUUGACUCUACGGGUUCUUGGGGUUUUGCUGCCAUAGGUUGAGGACGGCAACACCUGACCAAUAAGAACAAAAAAACGAAAGGGUUAGACCGGAAAAGUGUUAUUGAAUCACUUUUGUGCCAGGAACCCAAAAAAAAGUCCCCCCGAACUCAAUUCCCCGAAACUACCCGUCAGACUGCAAUUGUUAUUUAUUUUCCUUUCCUUUUAGUUAGUUUUAGAUCUCCAGUCUUUAUUUUCCUUCUUUGGCUUGUAAUUUCAAAUUUUUUAUUUCACAUUCGUCACUGUUAUUUCAAUUCAGCUUUCUAAUUUCGAUCUUUUACUCUCUCAAAAAUCAAAAUCAUGCCACCUCCUCUGCGUUUCCUACUAUCAUCACCAUUUUUACUUUUCUCUUUUAGCAUGCAAAAACCCUAAUUUUCCGUCUGAAUUGCUUUUGUAGGGUUUCUCUCCCAGCAGAAAUCCCUUAUUAUCAUAAUUGCUUUUAUGAUUAUUACAAAAAAAAUGCUUUAUGUAGAUGGAUUUUGAAUUUUUAAAAUUUUUAGGGUUUUUAAGCUUUGGAUUUCAACAAUGGGUGCCUUAACCAGCAAUAGCAAGCGAGACCCGUAUUCAAAUGCUCCGGACUUUCACAUUUCAAAAAAGCCUAGAUUGUCGUCGUUCAUGCAUCAAGCUCCGAAUCAAACCCUAGGAUCCUCCAACAACACAGUCUCCAGAAUCUCCCGGUAUCCGGAAACGACCUCAAAGUUUCGCCGGGAGGUUCAUGCGCCUUGUAGAAUACUCAAAUUUGGGAUUUCCAGGUCAAAAGAUAUUGAGUACAGUGAAAAAAAUAAAUCCAGUACCGCAGAAAUGGGGAAUUUCUUGAGUAAACAGCUGGAUUUCGCCAAGAGAAGCGCACUUGGUGCUUUUAGAUAUUUGAUUAAAGAGAAGGAAGUCAUUGAUGUUGAUAACGAGCUCGAAAAGUCUGGAAAGGAGGUUGUAUCGGACGAUUCUAGCAUCCAGGAAGUUGAGGCUAUUGAAGAAGAUGGAAGAGAAGAUAGGUCUAUGGUUUUUGACCGGAGGUCGGGUGAGGGAGUUGUAGAUGUUAAGAUUGUGGAGGAGAGAUCCGUGGUCACUGUGGAUGGGAACAUCGGGCUGCAAUAUGCGAGUAAAAUGUUGGAUUCAUUAACAUUGAAUAAUGAGGUAGUUGUAUCCAGUGUUGAGGCGUAUAAGAAGUUGUUGGGGAUGGCCGAGAGGAGAGAUGGGCGAUUGAAAGAAUUGGAUUUCCAAAUUGAGUUGAAUGAAAAGAAGCUCAGUUUUUACCAGUCAAUACGGCCAGUAAAGAAACCGGAAGUGCAGGUAAGGUUUUAUUUUUUAUUUUUUUAUUUUAUUCACUUUUUUGGUGAUGCAUCGAAUUAUGUAUUUAGGCAUGUUCCAUCGCUCCCUCUUUGUACAGGAAGUAUUUUUCUAAUUGUAGGAUUAGAGCCGUAUUCUAGUAAACUUGUUAAGAGCUUUCCAAUUGUUAUUAUACAAGGGAGGAAGAGAUUUGAGAUGUUUUCAAGUAUUAAAAGGGUAUAAAUUGAUUUACAGGAGAUACCUGAUGAACCUUUUAUUCCUCUUACAGAGGAGGAAGAGUAUGAUAUCAAACGUGCAUUGUCAGCCAACAAUAGGUAUGUUUUGAUCAAUAUGAUUUUUCGAGAGUUCAAUGGUUGCUACGAUGUUAUAACAUUAUUAGGUUCAUUUUUCUGCAGGAGGAGGAUACUGGUCACACACAAGAAUUCAAACAUUGAUAUUACUGGAGAAAUUUUGCAGUGCCUUGCCCCAGGUGCAUGGUUGAAUGAUGAGGUGACAUUUUUGGGUUCCUAGUUUUUGUAGUGUACAGUUCUAUUUAUGUAGCAUUUAAAAGGGACUAAUGUGUUUCAGUCAGCUUGUAGUAUGAUUUGUUGAUGCGUUUGAACUUUGUUUUGAAGGUCAUAAAUUUAUACUUUGAGUUGCUCAAAGAAAGAGAAAAGAGAGAGCCAGAGAAGUUUCUGAAAUGCCAUUUCUUCAACACUUUUUUCUACAAAAAGGUUGGUUGAUUAUUCAUUUUUUUUUUGUAAUAUUUUAAAAAUGAUUCUUAUACUCGUGAAAAAAGAACUUUUUGUUUCCUGUCAUAUUAAAAAUAUUUCUCUUGGAAACUUGAGUUCUUGCACAAUCUUCUAUUCUUAGUUGUCAAAUGAAUUUGAGAUGCCCUUAAAUUUGUUCCUUUUCUUCUCCGUUCUCCUACAUAUGUUUCAUUUUUUUCGUUGUUUUAAAUCAAACAGUGCAAAUGACUACUUUUUUUUUCUUGUUGUCAACCUCUAUGAUUUAUAAUAGACACACACACACUCAAACACAUAUAUUUUCUUUUUUCAGAUGAUAUAACACACUAGUCUUGAUUUUUCCGAGCAAGCAAAUUGCAUAAAAGAUUUAGAACUUGAAUUUUUUUAUUUUCCAAAAGUUCUUGUAACACUUGUCAUUUUUGAGCUUGUUGAACCUUUUUCUUCUAACCUAAAUUUAAUUGAAUGUCCAGUUAGCAGGUGGGGAUAAGAAGAUCUAUGAUUAUAAAGCCGUCAGAAGAUGGACUACAGAGAGGAAGUUGGGAUAUUUUCUGAUUGACUGUGAUAAAGUAAGAUGAAGCACCUUCUUUUUAAUUGUUGUAUCAUGAAUUUCCUUUAAUGGAAUUUGGGAGUCAUGCUGACUUGAUUUUGAUAUUGUGCUCAGAUUUUUGUCCCUGUUCAUAGAGAGAUACAUUGGUGUUUAGCAAUUAUAAAUAAAAGGGAUCAAAAGUUCCAAUAUCUUGAUUCUCUCAAAGGAAGGGACCUCAGAGUGCUGGAAAAUCUGGUAUACUUUUUGGUUUUUACUUCUAAUCUCAAAUAGCAGUUAGCAGAUUCGAAUUAUGCCCUCUCACAUUUAUGCAUUUUUAGGAAGUUAGGUCGUGUGAAAAUAUCAGUUAAUGACUAAGAUCUCUCACUUAUAGAAAGGACAUUAGCAAAUCAAAACAUCCUAUGAGAUCUUGUCUGUUUCCAUUUCACAUUUCAGUCUACAAUAGUUUCUCAUAAUUUAAGAGUCAGUGAUCUUUCCAAAUCAAGUAUUUUACUAUCGUAAUUCACAACUUCCAAUGUAUGUGCUAUUCACAAGUUUGAUUGAUUUUCCACCUCCAUAAAAUGCCCAAGAAGUUUGUCAGUGAUAAAUAAGAGUUUGUAUGAAAGGAUUAAUAGUUGUAGAUGUUAUGCCCAUGGAUAUUAAAUGCAAUAAAGUUUUAAAGCUUGUGGGAUUUCUCAAAUCAUUACAGAUUGCCAGGUUAAAAGCACUUCAAUUUACCUUUUCCUGGUAAUGAAUGGCGUUGUAUGUAUCCAUUUUUGUAUGGUGGGAUAUAAUCAUAGAGAGAUUGCAUUGUGCAUUUGUCGUCUUACACUUCUGUGGCCUUACAUCCUGAUUUGUAUCAUUGGGACAUGAAAUUUAUGUAUAAAUAAUAGGGGAAAAAAGAAAGAAAAAAAAGAAACGAAGUGAAUAAACAGCUCAAAGAAAAGAUUUACUCAUCCGCUGCUUCAAAAUUUUUCUAAUGUCGAACAUUGAUGUCUGCCAGGCCAAAUACUAUGUUGAAGAAGUAAAGGACAAGAGUAAAAAAGACAUCGAUGUAAGUAAUUGGGAACGUGAAUUCCUUGAAGACCUUCCUGAACAGCAGAAUGGGUAUGCAUCCUCUUGUUUUGGGACUGUAACAAGAAACGUUAGUCUGUGAUAGGUCUGAGAGUUUCUGUUGGUUGAAGCAUAUUUUGCAAUGAAGGAUAUAAAAGAUAUAUUUUUAUAGAAGUUGAUAAUUAUAAAUGCAGUAUUUUUUUUUUCCAUUGGCUUUUAAGUUGAAUUUUACUGAUUCAAUUUUAUUUUUAUAACAGGUAUGACUGCGGUGUUUUCAUGAUCAAAUAUGCAGAUUUUUAUAGCAGAGGUAUUGGGCUUUGCUUUAACCAGGUGAGAAACGUAUAAGGGGAUUUUCAAUUUCUCAAGCAUGAUAAGCUGGUGAAAUUGCUGGUUCUUUUAUUUUUUUUUACGCAAAAAUAUUUGCAUUAGGUUUGUAAUUUGUAGCAGCACUUGCAUUAAUUGAAGAUAUAAACAUGUAGAACUGAAAGGGCUUAUGUACAUCUGUCUGAGCAUAUACACAAGGAGAAAGAACAUACAAUACGUACUGAUUUAUAAGUAUUGACUACCAUUUCUUUAAUAACCACAUGGUUAACUUUUCUUAUCGCUUUAUCCAUGUUUUUCCUGACAAUAACCCCUAUUCAUGUUAAAGUCAAUGGAUUUAAUGGUAAAUUUGAUGUUCAGUUCUAAUGGAGCAUCCAAUGCCCCUGUUAUAAUGUGAUGUUGUUUCUCUCUUGUUCUGAUGCGUCCGUGUCAUACUUCUGGUCAGAUUGCUGAAAAAGCUUUUGCAUAAUAAACUCCGUAGCUUAAUCAAUAUCAUUUCACAACUGAAUCAAUUUAUCUUGAAACACAGUAGUAAUGUUGAUUUUAACUCAAAUCUCCAUUUCUUUUUCCCAUUUUUAAGGAUCAUAUGCCCUAUUUUCGGAUGAGAACUGCCAAGGAGAUUCUAAGACUGAGAGCUGACUGAUUGGAGGAGUGAUCUGUUAGUAUGAAUUUUGUUUAGCAAUUCUGCAAAGAGCAGAUCUGCCCUAAGAUUGCAAAGUACUUUGUGCUUUUUUGUGAAUGGAGAACCUUUCGACAUUGUUCAACAUCUAUGGUAAAGCAAUUUUGUCUAGUUGGAUUAAUUGAUCAAAGAUUGUUCCCGCAAUUGUGCGACUGGUACAGAAUUCAUAGCAAAAAAAAAAAAAAAAUGCAGGAACUGUGGCUGGCACAAUACUGAUGCACGCUGGGUUUUGAAUAUAUUUUCCCUUUUUUUUUUUUUUUUGGGUUGAGUUUUUGUUUGUAAUUUAGCACAUAAAAAACAAGUGAUUUUCUUACCUAUUUUUUAAAUCUUGACUACUUCCACCAUUUUAAUUCGUGGGCAUCUGAUAUGAGCUGUAGCCUGAUUGCUUGGCGAAUGGAAUAGUAAUCAAACAUGGCAGUUUAAUUGUUUCUACUUUCAAAUGGAUUCCAUACAAAUGUUCAUGCUAAUUUUUUGUUUAGCCCCUCAGAAAGUAAAAUUGUUAAAUGAGCUGAUCAUUUGGAUAGCUAAUAUGAUUCAAUGAUUCUUAUAAAUUCUUCAGUAAAAAAUGGAGGAAAAAGAAUAAUGCCGUGCAUUUAAAUAAAGGCAACCCCAACAAUUGGAGAUUUUAAUGCACAGGAACAUUGAAGUAAAAAUAAUUUCACAAUACGAUUUACAUAACAUAUAUUUCACAUUGUUAUUCUUUUUUUUUUUUUUUUUUUUUUUUUUUUUUUUUUUUUUUUUUUUUUUUUUUUUUUUUUUUUUUUUUUUUUUUUUUUUUUUCACUUUCUUAGAGAAUUGUUUGACUGAAUGAUACAUCUAACAAGCCAAGCCCUUCACCAGUAAUGAGAUGUGAAUGCUCACCGCCACUCCUAAAACCAAUAAAGCCUGAAUGUGAACAGCAACAUUAGCCCUUAAUACAAUCGGUAUGCAGUAGUACAUCAGAAUCUUCGUUAAACCUAAAACCUCCUCCCUGCCUUGUGACUGCGAGAAUGAAAAACAAACUCUGUGUUAAGUAUGUGUAUAUAUAUACAGGCUUGUAUACAAUUGAAAUUAAAUACCCAUUUGAAGGGGCCAUUACAUCAAAUCAACAAAUGCAAAAUCAUAUUGAAACUGAACUACAAGAGAGGAGAAAUUACAGGACAGGACAAGAUCGGAUCAAUGAAGCACACAAACAAAGCACUGUAUUAACGAGGAACUCUCUUCCGACUAAGUAUCUCUUGUUCUUUUAGUCGAUGUUGGAACCUAGCAAGGCGAGCUUGAAGACUAACCAGACCAGCUGCCUUCCGUGAGAGCACAAAGCUCAACUGGGUCACGUAGUUAUCUAUUAGACUGCCUGGUUGGUCAACUUCUGCCAGCAGUUUCAUUUCCUGAUACCCAAAAAACACAAAUGAUCAGCUGAUGGGUGCCAUAUUUCUUCUUCCAAACUAUGAAAAACAUCAUGAAACUCCAAAAGACAAGCAUUAUAUCCGCAGACCCUAAGGUAAUAAUGUGACUCAAACAUUAGAAUUAAACCAUUAAACCAUAAAGAAGUUGGAUCUUCACUUACCUCGCGAACAAUCUCCAUUGUGUCCUCUAUUUCUUUUCUAUGAGCUGCAAUUAAGGCCUCUUCUUCCUAGGAACAAUCAGUAAAGAUCAAAAUAAGACAUAACAAGCAUCCAAAUACAGUUAAACAAGUGUGCAUAUGCAAUGAAGAAUAUCAUGUAUUAUCACCAACCUCAAGUAUUGCAUUGAUAUUCCCAUCUGAAGGAGGAUCAGGCUCAUGUUGUCGCGAUCCAGUAUUAUUCGCAGUAUAGUUUCCUGUACUCAGCAGCCUUGGGUUGGAAAUGUCUGAUCCACUACUAUCCUUUUUCAACCAGUCACCGAACUUUUCUGAUUUUUCCUCCCUAGAUACUUUUCUACGAGGCGGUGAUACCUUUUGCAUCUUCUCUUCUGCAUCCACCGAGUUUUGGGAGUGUGAUGAAUUAACUUUUUGACUUGUUGAACCACCAUAAGAAUUGCUAAUUUCAAACCUCUCCCUAUCUGUUGAACCAGAAGACCCAUUUUCUUCACGUCCAUUCAAGGAAUAACUUGAAGUAAAACUAGGGGGCGGUUUGUCAUAAUCAGGAGUGGGUAUGUAAGAAAUAGCUUCUUUUUCUACAGCCCUCCUAACUGUAUCAACUGCUUUUGCCUCUUGUUGUUCAUAAACAUCAUCUACCUCAGAAUAAACAGGCAAUGAUGAUGCUGAUGACACAUCCUUCGUAGUUGGGGGUAUUGAAUUCAAAGUCUGAUCCUUUUUUGAAUUUCCACUUUUUGAAAGACUUUUAACCCUGUGCAUUUAAAUAAAAAACACGUUUUAAUAAAUAAGUGUAAUGAAACAGCCAACAGAGGUGACGCAUAUAGCUGAUGCUGAGAACAAAAACAUAUAUACCUGUCUGCAUAUCUCAAAGUAUUGAGUGUAUGUUCACAGGAGCCUGCAUUUGGAGAAAUGCAAGAGAUCAUAACAGUCCUAGAGUUGCCAACAAAGGAGUCACGUAGUACUUCUGUGAGUUUGCUCCCACGAAACGGUAUAUGAAUCUGGUCAUUGUCCAGAGCACGAAUGCAUUCCUUAAGUGCCAAAAGGCUCUUAUUAAUCUCUGCACCCUCAAUCCUGGAAUGGACAAAAUGGUAGCAUCAGGAAUUGCGAAACCAUGCAGGUAACAGAAAGGUUAUCCUUGAAGAAAGUGAAAAAGGCCCAUACUAAGGAAGGUUGUCCUACACACUAGCAUGCAAAGCAAAGGUCUCGAUCUUUCUCAAUGGCAAAGUAGAUCAGAUAUGUUCAAAAUAUAAUCUUAUGAACAUAUUACUAAGAGUUACAGGUAUACGUAACUAGUGUAAGAAAUAGAAAUACUGUGGUUACUUCAAAACCAAAAUAGAAUAUGUCAACGCAAAGGAGCUACCUUGUUUGUCGGUCAUUGUCAGUGGUGUCUGCACCCCGUUCACUACCAGCAAGAUCAAUAAAAGAAAUUUUCCCAACCACCUUUCCACUUUUAGACUCGUUCCCAUCAUUAUUCCUCCUGGAAUCUUUUACCUCACUGUGCUUCUUAAUAGCAAGCUGCAAGAUAGCAUGUGACCUUGAAGAUUCCUCAUUGGCACCAGUAGACCCUGUACUUCUUGUUGCAUUUCCCCUCUCGAUAUAUUCCUUAACAAUCUGUACAUCAGAAACUUCAAAUUCUUGCAGUCCUACAAUGCAAACUUGUUGUCGCCCAUCUUCUCUCAUACAAAGUUUUCUAUUUCAUAAUAGAUCAAAUCAGUUUUGUAUGCAUAAUUGAUCAGUCACUUAACCAUAUUCAUAUAUUUUCUGCAGACAUUUCUGAAUCAUUUAACCAAUUAACAAAUCAAACCAAUUCCAAGAAAAGUAAGUUAAUAAAAAGAAAGACCAACAAGAAAUACUUACUUUCUAUCAUUAAGAAGAUCAAAGAGCUUUCCACCAUAUAUUUCAAAAUAGCUAAGCCACAGUUUGAAUCUCUGAUUACGAUAAACAGGUUGAUGCAACAAUCUAACAAGGUCUUCAGCAGCUCUAAGAGGCAAUGGUUGCAUAGUGAAUGUCUUACCACUACCUGAAAAUACAACCAUUAUAAGUAUUUUGGAUACCAUAAAAAAAAUUUAGACCAUGCUUGGCUUCAGGAACAGGCACCAGCCAGUGUAAACAGAAGCACAAUACAAUCAUCUGUACAUCCCCACACCCCUCUACACCCUCUCCCCUUCUCUCUGUAUUUGCCCUACUUCAUUCUGAAAAGAAAGGAGAAGAGAAUAGGCAGAGUAAACUACAACCACCUUCACUGUUCUUCCAUCUCCUAUCAAGAAUUAAAAUGCCUUGAUACAUUUCACAAACUUCAAAUGUUUUUAAGCUGUAAGGAUUUAUCAAAUCUUUACCUGUCUGACCAUACGCAAAACAUGUAGCUUUUGUUCGUUGGAAAAUGAUAGGAAUAAUCGGCUCCACAGUAACUCGAUAAACCUGUUCAAACAUGUGAAGAAAUGAUUUCAUUUAAGUCUCUUUUUUUGAUAGAUCGAACUCAUCAACAAAAAAGGAGAGCUACUCAAAUUACCCAAUCAAAAGGAACACACGCCUCAGUUCAAGCAAAACACAAUAGUCUAUUCCUUUCUUUUUUUAAGCCAGGGAGGGGGGGGAAGAGGUCAACAAAAUAAAAGAAAUUGAAGGGAAAAAAAGGUGCUAUUACUAUUAAAAAAAUUUCACUCUGGCAGCAGUUAUAUGGACCUUUGUCUCUAGCACAGUAGAAGUUACCUCAUCAUUGGUGACAUGCUGAUCAAGAACAGCAUCAAAACAAAAUUCAUGCUUCUCAACAUAUGCAGUCAAGUCCACCUUUCCAGAUCAGCACAAAAUAUUAGUGCUUUAACAGAAACAGAAAAAGAAAAGAAUAUAAAACUAGGAUAUAAUCAAGUAAAAUUCCUAUUUUCACCAGAAAAAUCCAAAUGAAUACUAAAGAACUUCGCUGCACAGCAGAACAGGGAACAAACCUUUAGCUUGGGUUCAUGGACAGUCAAUGCAUUCUCGGAAACAGUUACAAUAUCAUCCUCCUUCCGAGCAAUCUCCUUCUUGUUUAGUGGUCUUUUACGUACCUGAUAUUUAUUUUUUUUUUUUUUUUUUGGGGGGUGGGGGGCAUAAAAGCUUCUCAGAACUUCUUGUUUAGCAAAAGAAUGACGGGUAAGAAAAAAAAUUAAAUGUGUGGAACAGUCAAACAAUUGUACUUGGGCAAUUAAAGCAAUAAAAUAACUGAGAAAAUAAUAUCCAAGCUGAGAAAUUAAACUGUUCUUCCUCCAUCUAACAAUAAUACUUUUCCAUAAAAUGGAGCAUCUACAACUUAACAACCACACAUGCACUGCUAGAAGUGCAUGCAACGGAGACGAUGGAGAGAAAGAUAUACUACCCUACAUAUAUUAUAAACUUACCACAACUUUAAUUUUAGCUACAUUAUUUUCUCUAUUGCUGCUGUUCUCUUUUUCAUUAGUAGGAAAAGGAGCAGAUAAAUCUGGAUCACUCUGCUCUCUUUGCUGUUUACUACUAGUUGCAUUGAAAUCUUCAAAUACUUUCGAGCCACCAGGCAUGAAUGGUGAUGGCUCAAAGGGUUCUGAAAUGACAUGCUGCAAAUAUAUGAGAACAAAAAUUCAUUAACAUAUGAAAAGGGAAUAAUUAUACGCCUCAUACAAUAAGAAAGGAAACAAACAAACAAUUUCCAUAUUUCCUAUAAAUUUCAUUAUUACUACAAGGACGUAUUUAUGAAUCUCUUUUAAUCAUUUGAACUUCAAACUUCAAUAAACAAUUCAGUAGAAACAGCAAAUGGUCAACAGUUUGAACUUCAUAUGAUAGUGACAGCUGAUAUUUAAAACUUUUAAAAACUGAAAUUGAACGUGCAUUCUAUCAAAAACCACACUCGUCCAUUUUUAAAGCUAUUCUUGCAUGUUACUAGAUCUCUUAGCAAUAAACUGGGAAGAGGAAAGCAAAUAACAAGAGCCUUACAUGAUAGAUAACAAAAAGGUGAAAGAGAAGAAGGGGGAAAAGUGCUUUUACAGGUUCCAUUUUAUGAUUACAGGAUCAAAAACUGUCAUACUAUACUGCAUGCUUUAGUGGCAAGCUCAUUAUGGAUUUCUUUAUUUUUUUCUGACUGAAAAGCCUCUUGUUGUACAAGACACAUGGUUCAUUUACUGAUAUACUCAUUACAAAAAUAAAUAAAUAAAUAAAUGGUAACUGUUACCCUCCAUUAAGACAAAGCAUGCAAUCAAGAACCGUACCUCGGAUAAAAGCUCUGUAUCAUCCAUAGCAUGAAGAUCCAAAAGACCAGCUCCAAAAUCACCCCUGAACUCUGGAGAAUAAAAUCCAUCUGAUGCAGCCAUACCAGCUGAAGUUGGGGCAGUUGGUGUGUAAGGCUCAGAACCUGAUUCUCCAUUGAAAUUGAGGUUUCUCAUUAGCUUGAAAAGCCUCUGUUUUUCUUCAGCAGAUUGCGCUCCAUAACCCUUUAAUGUGAAUAGUAAAUUAAUACUAAUUUGUACAAAAACGUCUACAAGAGAAGUUCCUAUGAAAAACAGAAGAAUCUAUAGGAAAAAAUUUCAUCUCCAUCCAGCAGCGGGAACUUAAAAAAAUAUUGAUAUGGUUUAUUUUAUUUGUUCUAUUAACAUGCGCUGAAAACAUCAACAAAAAUUAAUAGUUGUAUUUACUUGUUUGAUGCAUGUGAUAUAUAUAUAUAUAUAUAUAUAUAUAUAUAUAUUGAGGCUGGCAGGUAUACAUUUUAACUGUGAAGAGGCGUAAAAACCAAAACAAAAGAAACAUUUGUUUCUCACUGAGGCGGAUCUAAGAAUAAGAUUAAUCAUCAACUAGUUCCACACAAAGAUGCUGGAACAAGGGAAAAAAACUGUAAGAAGCACACAAGUCCGCAUAAAGAACUUGAUAAACCAAUCGACUUCCUUAAACUCCUUUCUCUAAACAAAACCGCCAAUCCAAAUGAAGGAUGACUUUCCUCGAGAACGGUUCUGAAAUUAACUAUCCAAACCAUACAACAUAUCUCCCAUGAACUCCUCGCUUCAGAAUAAGUAUUCUAACUUCCGUCAUAUCAAAUAAAGCUAGUAAGAAGAAGCAUGCGAAAGACUCUAAUGGUCACAAAAACACCGACCAACCAAUUACCUGCAUUAGGAGAUUGGGGAGGAGGCGUUGAUCGAUGCCUGUGGAGGCCAAGGGAGAGGCCAGAUGCUGCAAACCCGCAGACUGGAGCCACCGUGCCAUGACCGCAUCGCCAGCAUCACUAGCGGGGCCUGCAUUGUGCAAGGACCCACCGCCGGUAUGAUCAUAAAGAGCGGUCGCCGCAGCAGCAUUGCUCUGCUGCAUCUGGCCGCCCAUGUGGCGCUGCGAUCGCUUUUGCGGAGCCAAUUUCAAGAUCUAUUUACCACGUCUUCACAAUCAAAAGAAAAGAAAAUCACAAAUUCCAUAAUAAAAAUAUAUAUAGAAAUGCAAAAAAAAAUAAAAAAUGAAGCGAUUCGGAUAAGCAAUACUCACAAGGAGGAGAAAAUUCGAAUCCAAAGCAGAACAUGAAAGUGAUUUCUUUAAAAAUCCACUCAAUCCACCAAUUCUGCAAUAAAACCAAAUCCGAUCUUAAUUUUUUAAAAACCCUAAAAAUUCAUUUCUAAGAAUCAUCAACCACAUUUUAUCUAAGAAUACGAAGGAAAAAAAAAUACCAGACGAAAUCAAAGACAAAUAACAAAGAGAUCGAGAUCUGUGAGAGGUACAAAUGGUGUGAAGCUUAAAAUUUGUGAUCAGAUCUGAAACUGUAGAAAUAAUACAAAAACCCUAAAGAAGAAUGUUGUAAAAGAGAAGAAAGGAGGCUGCAGGCUUUGUUCGAAUUUUUCUUUGUUUGAGAAAUUGUAAUAACAGAGGCUCCACAAGACAGAGAGGGAGAAAGAGAGAUGAAAUGCACUUUGCAAAGGAGAUAUAAGUAAUGUGAGUAUUUACUAUAUAAUUUUUGGUGCAUUAUAGUUUUGAAAAUUUAAUGAACUGCUAUUUUAAAUUUAGUGAAAUUAUUAAUUUACCCUCGAUUUUGUUAUUAAUUUCCCUUGUUUAUUUUAUUUUCUUCUAAGCGGACCGAAAAGAAUCUAAAAAUACAGAAGUACCCUUAACGUGAAACAGACAACAAAUAACUAUUUAAAAAUAAUAAUAAUAAAGAUAACAAAUAAAUAUAUUCCAACUAGGAUUAAACCUCGUCAUGCUUAAAUUAGUUUUUCUAGGCUCCGUUUAUUUCUGUAAAAUAAUUUGUAAAAAAAUAUUUUUUAUAAUUUUUCAUUAUUUGGAGCCCUCAUAAAAAUAAGUCAAUAGAAAAUAUUUUUCGAAUUAAAGAAAAAUUAAAUCAUUUUUAAAAGAAGACAACUCUCCAUUUUCGACAGAGUAAAACAUUUUCCGGAUAUUGGCGAACUUUAUAAAUCCAUAUUUUUUAAUUUAUUAAUCAUCAUUGUAACGCCCCGCAUGUUUGACAACUUCUAUUUUUAGGGGAAACUCUUGCAGUUUUUAUGUAGGCCUCUCCCAAGUCAUUUUUAAAACAAAAUAUUCUUACUUGUUAAACUUAUGAAUACUAAGUCACUUCUAAUUCAUAAUAUGAUUGUAUGGUUUAUAUAUAAGUUAGGACGGUGCCUCUGGCACCAAACUUGGCAUCCACCGCGGGUCUUUCGGGAUCGGGCGGCGGGUGUUAUAAUCAUAGUCACUAUCACCGAUCACUAUUUCCACGGACUACCACCGACGGUAGCUUUCAUAAUUUAUAUUUUUUUCAUUCUUUUCAUAUUUAACAAUCAAAUUUUUAAAUUAUAAAAUUUCUAUUAUUAUUAAUAUUUUUUAUGGUUUUAUGAGAUAAAGACUUUCAUAUUUUUAACUAAUGUUCAAUAUUACAACUAAACAACGAAAAAUAAGUCAUUUGGAAAAUAUUUUUCAUAAAAAAAUUUAUUUGUAAAUUAUUUUUCUGCAGGUUAUUUUACAUAAACAAACGAGAGCCCUAUGUUCUUGAAUUUUGAUUUUGUUAAUUUCUAAUUUAAUUAAAAAUCUAAUUAGUAUUAAAAUUAUUUUCCAUAAAUAAGUCACCCAUUUAAAGUCUAUAAACAGUAAUUUCACGUUUAAAAAAAUGUACUAGUAGUUUAAUAAGGAUCUGUUUAAGAAAAGAAAAAGAAAUUAUUAUUUCAUGUAUUUUAUAUAAAAUUAGUCACAUGUUAUCAUAUGCCCCAAAUAUAUAAUAUUAUUAUUAUUUUUUAAAUUUAGAUAAUAUUAUAUAAAUUUAUUAUUUUUCGUCAUGUUCAUUGCAUUUCAAAUACGUACUUGCAGGUACUAAUUGAAUUUAAAUGUUCUCAUCUGUAAUUUGUAAGUCAUUAUAUAUCUUAAAAUAAUUAAAAUAGAAUGCUAAAAAAAUUUUAAAACUGCAAUUUACAAAAUAUUAUAAAAAAAUAUUUAAAUUUUUUGAUACCUUGAAAUAGGAUACUGUAUAGAUAGAUAAAAAAUUAGCAAAUCAAUUUGUUAGGAGGGCAGUUCAUGGAAAUAAAUAUCACCAUAUGUAGAAUUCCGAAGUGAAUGGCAGGACCUAGCCUAAUUAUUUGUUUAGGGACAGAUUAGACGCUUGUCUUUUUUCUACGCCAAGUGAAAUUGACCAAACAGCCCAGCAUUUUUCACAAAUUUAAAUUCAGGUAAAAUUUAUGAGUAAAAUAAUUAGAAUCAGUUAAAAAUCUGAAUUAAAAAUAAUGCCAGCAAGUUUGAUUUUCUGGAAACUAUUAAAUGCACCAUAGCAGAAUGCAUUAUUUCUUGAAUAAAAAUUUAGUCUUACUAAAAUAUAAAUUUUUAUGAAAAUAUUCAUAAUCAUGUAAUAAAUCGAAACCCGCAUUUUUUUUUAUUUAAAUUUAUCUACUAUGAUGUUCGAGUGAAUAUAAUAUUUAAAAUAAAGUAAAAAUAAAAUUAUUUGUAUUGGUACUAUAACGAGCUUAUUUAAUAUAAUUCAGUUUUUUUCUUCUAAUUUAUAUGUAAUUAAUAAAAAUAAUACCUUGAAAAUUAUUGUUUAAGACACUUAUCAAAGAAACCUGAACAUUGGAUUCUCACAUAAUUGUAGAUUUUUUUUUUUUUUUUUUUUGGUAGCUAGUGAAGAUGUUUCAAUUAAAAGGUGCAAAUCCCAUGUGAUGGCUAUGCCACUUGUUAGAUGAUGAUUUUGGAUGUGGACUAACUUCCCUGCUGCUGCCUGCUGGCUCUGAAAAAAAUGCAAGCACCAGAAUUGUUCUCUCAGGUUAUAUAUAUUAAAAAAAUAAUAAUAAAUAAUAGAGAUGGGAUAUACAUAUAUAUAUAUAUAUAUAUAUAUAUCAAAAAAAAAAAAAGAAGUUAAAAAAAUUGAUUGUUGAAGUUAUUGUCAAUAUGACCCAAGAUGGGUUUAUCUCUAGUAUACUGCACUUCUUUUCUGCAGAAAGAAAUGCCAAAUUGGUAUAAAAGUAAUAAAGAAGAUAGGUAAGGGCAAAAUGACAGACAAACAACAACACCAAGAGAAACGACAAUAAUUUCAUAAUUUUAUAAAUAAAAAAAAAAAAAGAACUUGAAUCUAUUUUUUUAUGCAAUCUUUAUAUGAUAUAAAAUUCCUAAAGAAAGACUUUGGGUCUGAAUUUGUGCAUUUAUGAGUUUUUCCUCUCCGCUCCCCUUGGCCCUCGUACUGCUUUAACUAAUAUCUUUGACAUCUAGGCCAAAAGACAUUUGCAUUUGUUUAGGACAUUAGACGUUUUUGUUUAGCUUCUGAUAUGGUCUUUUAGGGUGUCUUGUUCUCCUCAUAGUGGGGCCAUACCAAAGUAGAAUAAUAAUAUUGAUGGCUGGUGGAUCUCCAUCUCCUCGUAUUAAAGUUUAGCAAAUUGAAUUCAUAAAAAAUAAGUUAAAUGGUAAUGUAUGUUCGAAUUAAAAUUCGCAAAACGAAUCUCAAAAUGAAAUUAAUCUCAUAGUAAAAAAUAACGUAAAAAUACUCCUAAAAGAAACUCUUUUUCAAUAUUGCCUAACCUAUCAUAUCUUGAAGCUCACUCUUUUUUUUUUGAAUAAAGCCUUGCUUUAACUUAAAGUAUAUACGUAAGGUUGAGAUCUAAGAAUUAAUUAAGAGUUGAAAUUUGAAUUAAAUAAUAUUCUUUUGACAUAAUUAGUCAAAUUAAUUAAGCCUUGCAUCCACCUCAUUUUAGGUGAUUCUGAACUAAUAUAUAAUUGCUUCCUUUGCACCUCCAAACCGUAGGUUAGGUUAUCACAAUGUACUUAAUUACAAUGUACAUCAUAUGAAUUUAAUGGUGGGAACCCAUUAAUGACUAUGAUUACAACCUGCAUUUUAGAUUACUUUUUAUACAAUUCCAAAACUAUUAUGGUUGAUAAAUGGGUUUUUAUUAGUAGAAAUUUAAUUUAUAGUUAGAACCUAACUAUUAAAAGAUAUUUCUUUUAAUUUUAAUUUAAAUUAUUUAGUCCGACAUUAAUAAAUUAUAUAAAACAUAAUUCCAGAAAGGUUUACCAACCAAAAUUAAUCUUUUGUAUCUUUAUUUAUAUAAACCAUCUAAAAAUGAGAAAUAAGAUUUUGGCAAUAAUGAUGUAAUUAAAGACGUCAAGUCCAUGGUGAAGACAAGCAACAUAAUCACGAUUUUCCAUAUAAACAUGUUUUCAAAAUGGAGUAAAUGCAUGAAUCAAGCAAAAGGUGAAUCAAAGGUCAUUUGCUUUUAAUAUUUUAUAAUAAGCGAUUGUAAAACUGGUCAUGUCUCUUAGUUUAAAUUUUGAUUAAUAAAGUAACUAUAAAACUAAGUAUUUGCCAAUUGAUUUAAUCAUCGACGCAGGUGGUCUAAAUUCACAGCAUGUGCAAUUUUUUAAUUUUAUUUUAUCAGAUCAGAUACGUUGAGGAAGCAGAAAAUGAUUGCAUUGACUAGUAGUAGUAAUAAUAAUAAUAAUAAAAGAUAAUUUUGCCUCGUUAGCCUCUAUCUUUCCCACUCUGAACCAACAUAUUUGUAAUAGGUCAAGGAACACAAGGCGGCAAGAAGCACAAUUGACGAGUCACACGCACCGAUUACGGGGCGCUACGCAAUCUUAACAAGUCAAAUUAAGAUCUAUGCUAUUCUGAGGAAGGCCAUUCUGCGGCCAGAAGAUCUCAAAGAAGUAAACACUUCCUCCAGCAUCCAAAUGAGGGAUUCUCUCUGGAACAAAAAAAAAAAUCGAGUGCACUGCCUUCCUUCAGUUUUCAGAGGUGGGGGCUAUUUAUUUUAUUGCCGCCAAUAGCGCUUCGCUUGCAUGCAAGGCGGCACGCCAGGUAGAGCUAUCGCGGGCGGGAGACCUCAGGCUUCCAACGCCACAAUUAAACAGAAUCAAAAUGCAAGAUUAGAAUAAGCCAUCACCAAACAGAAGUAAAACUACAAUUAAACCCCAAAUAAAAGGAAAUACUAAUAAAACGAAAUCUAAUGCAUAGCAAAUCGCAAAAUACACCAAUUUCUUAUUAUAUUUUAUACCGAUAAGACCAAAAUUCAAUGGCCUUACAUGCUUGCUUGCCUGCACCACCUUAAAGUAUAUAAUAAUAGAAUGUUGCCAAAUUGCAAAUGAUUAGAGCCAGUAAAACAUAUCUAUUUUGACAAGCCUUCCACAAAUACAAAGGGAACAAAGAAGUUGUAACAUCAAACAAUUACCAACUUAGGCUGGUAAAUUUUAGAAUACACGCCCAAUAGAAGAUUGAAUUAUUUGUCAAACAAGAAACUAAUAACCAAAGAAGGAGGAAAACAUGUCUAGUCAAUAAUUAACCAAAAUAAGGCAUGAAGCACCAAAUAUAACAGUACAGAGAUGGAAAAGGACACAUAAAGCUAGAAAUAUGGCAAGAACUUCCACUUCGAAGCCAGCUAUUCUCCAUUCUUAGCACUUGAUCUCCUUCAAAGCAUAAGCGAAGUACAAAAAUGUUGGGUCAGUGGCGCCAUCCUUGUAGUAAGCAAACACCAAACUCCCAUCAUCAUGCAUGCUCUCCCCCACAAAACUGCAAGACACGUGAGCAUGUAAAUCACUGAGAUCCAAACUACAUGUAUGCUCAUAUAAAUAAAUAAAUAAAUGAACUGUACUAAAACAACUGGGGAUAACCAGCAGGAAAAUUUGAAACAAUAAAAAUUACACUCACAAUUGGAGGUCACUGAGCUUCGAGAGCAGGAACUUGGUUGCUCCCUCAAUGUUUUUCUUGAAAGCCUGUUGCUUCUCCUCAUCCAAUUUGGGUGUCAACAACUUGAUGUACCUCUUCAUGUAUGUGACAAACUGCUUCUUGUCAAAAGCAGGUUGCUCCUG
RNAcentral lists this long non-coding RNA (55345 nucleotides) under Jatropha curcas. RNAcentral describes it as "long non-coding RNA (JCUR_LNC002540)". The record is from RNAcentral. Lineage: Eukaryota; Viridiplantae; Streptophyta; Magnoliopsida; Malpighiales; Euphorbiaceae.